This 58696-nucleotide long non-coding RNA is filed under the name Nicotiana benthamiana. RNAcentral's name for it is "long non-coding RNA (NBEN_LNC032545)". Lineage: Eukaryota; Viridiplantae; Streptophyta; Magnoliopsida; Solanales; Solanaceae. The record is from RNAcentral.
UUUUUUUUUCCUCUAACUAAUUUGUCUUCUGCUUAACGUGCAGACAGAUUUCCCCUUAGACUUUUUCCGUUCAGUACACAUUGAUAAAAAAGGGGGCGUGUUGGGUUUGGAGUUGCGUGCGCGAUUCACUAAUAGAUGUUACUCCUAAAAGGCAUAGGUAAAAUUGGCAAGAACCAUGUGAAAAUCUGGACACACAUAAUCAGUGGCGGAUUUAGGAAUUUAAGUUUGUGGAUGCUAAAUUUUUUUUUACAUAAAAUUAAUGGGUGCUUUUGUAAAUUUUAUACGUUUUCUCAAAUUUUCUAUAUAACUAUACAUACUCUGCGUCGAGAUUAAUGGGUGNNNNNNNNNNNNNNNNNNNNNNNNNNNNNNNNNNNNNNNNNNNNNNNNNNNNNNNNNNNNNNNNNNNNNNNNNNNNNNNNNNNNNNNNNNNNNNNNNNNNNNNNNNNNNNNNNNNNNNNNNNNNNNNNNNNNNNNNNNNNNNNNNNNNNNNNNNNNNNNNNNNNNNNNNNNNNNNNNNNNNNNNNNNNNNNNNNNNNNNNNNNNNNNNNNNNNNNNNNNNNNNNNNNNNNNNNNNNNNNNNNNNNNNNNNNNNNNNNNNNNNNNNNNNNNNAUCCUCUGCGUCGAGAUUAAUGGGUGCUCGAGCACCCAUUUUUAAUGAGUACAUCCGCCACUGCACAUGACCAUAUUUUUAUCUAGGCUUAUGUGUGCUUUAGAUAAUUUUAAGAAUGUCAAUAUAUUGUUGAGGCAUUUUCAAUCUUGACCGAAUGUUUUCUAUAUAAUUUUAUCCAGUUAGACAGGACAAGAUGCCAAACUUUUCCGUUUUAGAAGCACUUUUUUUUUUCUUCAAAAAAGUAACUAUUUUCUCUUUUCUAAUUUGAAGUGUUUAAUCAAGUUUUCUCGGAAAAAAAAAAGUGCUUUUGAGGAGAAACAAAAAUAGUUUUGAAGAAUUAGAAAAAAUAACUUCUCUCCAAAAUAAGUUUUUAAAUAAAUAUGUUUAAAAAAAAUACUUAGAAACAGUUUUUAAAAACUUGACCAAAUACUAAUUAUUUGCUCAAUAAUUUUUAAAUUAAUUAGCCAAACACAAACUACUUCUCAUCAAAAUAUCUAAAAAAAUUACUUUUCAAAAUAAAUUAAUUUUGACAAUUUGACCAAACAAGCUAUAAGUCAAGUAAAAACAAAAGGUAGUAAGAUCACAUGGUGAUGAGUAAUGACUAAAAGAGAGGGGGGCAGAGAGAUCAAAAUCGUACCAAAUUAGAGUAGACAACUAAAUUAAAGUUAAUACAUUGAUUAUAUAAUGACGUAUUAUGAUCUACUCAGUCAUAUAUGGCUUUUUUAACUGCUUAGGAGAUAUCUUACGGUGGAUUCCAAAAAUAAGGGCGUAAUUUCUUAGAGUUUAAUUUCUACUCAGGACUGUAAAAUAUAUUUACGCAAACAAAUUAUAUACAGUAUAAGAUAAAUGUUUAAGUUAUAUAUACAUAAAUAGUGUAAAUAAUGUUUAUUCUAUCAAGUCAUCCAUAACUACAGUUAAAUAUAUAUGAUAAACAUUAACUACAGUCAGUACACUUAUUUAAAAAAUUAUUUAACAGACUUAAUCACAACGGGCAUUUAAACUAAAUUACUCCCAUUUUCCUCAAUGAAUAAUAAUAAUUAUAUUUGUUGUUUGGAGUAGUAAAAAUGGAAAUGUAGUUAAUGGGUUUUAAUUUUUUUAAAGUGACAAUUAUUUUGGUAAAGAUUUCACAUGACACUCUAUUUGAUCGCACAUAUUAAAUUUGUACUCAUUUUUUUAAAAAAGAUUUAAUUAGUACCCAAAAUAUAAAUAGCUUCAGGCUUUUUCCUUCCCCUUCUUCUCCUCUUCCUUGUCCUCCUCCUUAGUCAUUGUAAAAACAAAAGGUGAACUUAUACAGUGUUUGUGAGCACGUUUUAAGGUGGUUUUGUUGUUUUAACAUAGCUAGUGAGCUGAUGUGGUGUUCUUUUAUUUGCUACUCCUUAGGAUUUCUUCUUCUUCUUAAUUACAAAAUAGGUUUGGUAGAUUUGUUGUUGUUUUGAGGAAUUGAUGAUUAUGAUUUGUACUUUAUGAUAUUUGGGGGUUAUAUUUCAAAUUUGAAUUUUUGUAGUAGUUUUAGAUGUUAAUCGUGUGUUAGAUUAUAGAAAUUAGAAGACAUUUUUUUUGUUUCCGGACAAUUUACGUUUCAGACCUAUUUGGUCUUAAGUACAUGAAAAUAUUUAUUGUGCUUUAGGCCUAUUUGACCUUAGGUGCAUCUUAAUGUAAUUUUUGUACAUUAGACUUAAUUAGCUUAAGUGUAUUGCACUUCAUAUGAUUUUUCUUUUUUAAUAAGUCUAAAGUUGAUUUUAAAGUAGGUAGACUUGUAAAUUUUGUACAAAGUCGGUAUAACUUCAAUUGUAACCUCAAAACUAGGUAUAGAUACAAAUGGUUAAACUUGGAUGGGCUAGCGUGUUUUUAAAGUAGUAUUUACUUUUUAUCCAAUAUUUUUAAUGCAUAGCAAUAGUAGUCACUAGUCUAUUAAAAUUAUUAUGAAAAGAUUGUAUUACUUUUUCUUCUAUCUCUUUUCAGGAGAAGAACUGUGCAACUAAGCUCUUUCCCAUUUGUUGGAUUGGACUCCCUCCAUCGGAAAAUAUGAGUUGACACCAAAUCUCACAUUAAGGCUUUGAUCACAAUUGAAACCAUAGCGGAUGGCUUGCUAAUUUGAACUCUCUCACUUACCUCUGCAUCGUGAUACAUAUCACAAUGUGUGCAUUUUGGAAUAUAACUUAACCACGAUAUGAGGUCUUCUCACUAUAUUUGGAUUCAAGAUCUUUGUAUUGCUCCAUUAGUAGCUCAAGUCCUGUGGAUUGAGAAUGUUGAUUAGGUCAUUGCUAUACAAUGUAUUUUAUUACAAAUUGUAACAAUUUUUCUUUCACAAAUGCUGCUUUAAGUAUGGUGUGAUCGUAAUUGACUUUAAGAUAGGGAAGAAAUGACGUUUGGUUUUUUGCUACAUUGUGGAUCCUGAAUUUACAGUUAAAAGUUCAAAAGUUAAGAACACUUGGUCCUGACUUAGAAUUACAAGUUCAAAAGUUAACGACACUUGGUUCUCAACUUCAAGUUCAAAUUCAAAAGUUAAGGACACUUGGUCCUGGCCUUAGAAUUAUAAGUUCAAAAGUUAAGGACAUUUGAACCUGAACUUAAACUAAUAAGCUCAAAAGUUAAGGACAAUAGGUCCUGAACUUAAAGUUACAAGUUCAAAAGAUAAGGAUAAUAUGUUAUGAACUUACGCUAAGAAGUCCAAAAUAAGAACAAUAGGUCCUGAACUUAUAGUUACAAAUUCAAAAGUUAAGAACAAUGAGUCUUGAAGUCCCGAACUUAUACUAACAAGCUCAAAAGUUAAGGAUAAUAGGUCCUGAACUUAGGCUAAGAAGCUCAAAUUAAGGACAAUAGGUCCUGAACUUAGACUAACAAGCUCAAAAGUUAAGGACACUUGGUCUUGAACUUAUAGUUACAAGUUCAAAAGUUAAGAAUAUGUAGUCCUCAAGUCAUGUAGUUAAGUUUAAAAGUUAAGGACAUGUAGUCCUGAAGUCCUGAACUUAGAGUUCCAAAUUCAAAAGUUAAGUACAUUUAGUCCUGAAGUCUUGAAAUUAAAUUCAAAAGUUAAGGACAUGAGCAGAAGGGUAUUUUCAUCAGGACAGUUAAAAUUUAUUAAAACAGUGGCUAAAGACUAAAGACAUUUUAAAUUGUGGCUUAAAAGUAAAUGCACAUGUUAUUAGUGGUUAAUUAUGCACUUCUCGAUGCAAAUGCCCUAAUAUUUUAAGCUAAUUUUUUUAAUUUAUUAAAGUGAAACAAAAAGGACCAAAGCUCAUUAUUUACAUUCUUUUACCCUUACCCUUUCAGAGACAACGUGUGAGAGUAAAAAUUACUGGAAGGGAAAAUAUCGAUUUUAAUACUCGAAUUAUUGCUUAAUUCCAUUUUCAAUUCAUUUACUCUUUGACUACGCACAUGUCACGGCCCAAACUUCUAUCAAGUCGUAGCGGUACCUAACCCGAUUCGUUAGGUAAGAGAACUAAGAUAUAACAUGGUUUGAACUAAAGAUCAUGAAAUAAAUAAUCUAAUAAGAAUAUAAAAAUCAAUACAAUUAUCCCCAAGAACUAGUAGUACAAAUCAUGAUCCACUAAAAUUUAGAUUUACAAUAGUGGUACAAUUAAAUACAAUAAACGUUUAAAUAUAAAUAAGCAGAAAUAUAAUAUUCUAGGCUACUACGAACAACUGGCUGCUAAUGGUUGGAAUGCCUAUAUCUUCAACAAUCAACCCCGAAUGCUGCAAUGUUAAGCUCCAAAAUCUUAAUGCAAGAUGUAGAAGUAUAGUAUAAAUAUAACCGACUUUAUGUAUUCAAUAAUAGCGCUUACGCGCCGCACGCAGGCUUAGACGAGGAGGCUAAAAGGCGCUUUUGGGAGGACUUNNNNNNNNNNNNNNNNNNNNNNNNNNNNNNNNNNNNNNNNNNNNNNNNNNNNNNNNNNNNNNNNNNNNNNNNNNNNNNNNNNNNNNNNNNNNNNNNNNNNNNNNNNNNNNNNNNNNNNNNGCUGGUGGAUAUGAUGAGGUGCACGGGGGCUUUGGCUUUGGUGCCAGGAACGGAGGAGGCACUUCGCUGCUUGAUUUCGCCAGGGCUUCCGAGCUCCUAAUUGCGAACUUGACAUUCCGGAAGAUGGAGGAGCAUUUGGUCACCUUCAAGAGUUCGGCGGCGAGCACUCAGAUUGACUACAUCCUCAUCCGAAGGAGCGAUAGGGGCUUGUGCAAGGACUGCAAGGUUAUUCCGGGAGAGUCUCUUUCAACUCUUCAUAGACUGCUAGUGAUGGAUGUCGAUCUCUGGGUGAAGAAGAAGCGGAGGGGCGCACAGGAUCAACCGCGGAUUAGAUAGGGCGCUUUGUCUAAGGAGAAAGCAGAGGAGUUGGAAAGGAGGUUAGUAGAGGGCGGAGCUUGGAGAAGUUACGGGGAAGCGGACGCUANNNNNNNNNNNNNNNNNNNNNNNNNNNNNNNNNNNNNNNNNNNNNNNNNNNNNNNNNNNNNNNNNNNNNNNNNNNNNNNNNNNNNNNNNNNNNNNNNNNNNNNNNNNNNNNNNNNNNNNNNNNNNNNNNNNNNNNNNNNNNNNNNNNNNNNNNNNNNNNNNNNNNNNNNNNNNNNNNNNNNNNNNNNNNNNNNNNNNNNNNNNNNNNNNNNNNNNNNNNNNNNNNNNNNNNNNNNNNNNNNNNNNNNNNNNNNNNNNNNNNNNNNNNNNNNNNNNNNNNNNNNNNNNNNNNNNNNNNNNNNNNNNNNNNNNNNNNNNNNNNNNNNNNNNNNNNNNNNNNNNNNNNNNNNNNNNNNNNNNNNNNNNNNNNNNNNNNNNNNNNNNNNNNNNNNNNNNNNNNNNNNNNNNNNNNNNNNNNNNNNNNNNNNNNNNNNNNNNNNNNNNNNNNNNNNNNNNNNNNNNNNNNNNNNNNNNNNNNNNNNNNNNNNNNNNNNNNNNNNNNNNNNNNNNNNNNNNNNNNNNNNNNNNNNNNNNNNNNNNNNNNNNNNNNNNNNNNNNNNNNNNNNNNNNNNNNNNNNNNNNNNNNNNNNNNNNNNNNNNNNNNNNNNNNNNNNNNNNNNNNNNNNNNNNNNNNNNNNNNNNNNNNNNNNNNNNNNNNNNNNNNNNNNNNNNNNNNNNNNNNNNNNNNNNNNNNNNNNNNNNNNNNNNNNNNNNNNNNNNNNNNNNNNNNNNNNNNNNNNNNNNNNNNNNNNNNNNNNNNNNNNNNNNNNNNNNNNNNNNNNNNNNNNNNNNNNNNNNNNNNNNNNNNNNNNNNNNNNNNNNNNNNNNNNNNNNNNNNNNNNNNNNNNNNNNNNNNNNNNNNNNNNNNNNNNNNNNNNNNNNNCAGUGGUGCCCCUGUACAAGAACAAAGGGGACAUCCAGUGCUGCAACAAUUAUAGGGGCAUCAAAUUAAUAAGCCACACGAUGAAGGUUUAGGAGAGAGUGAUUGAGGCGCGGGUGAGGGAGGCGACGACUAUAUCUGGGAACCAUUUCGGUUUCAUGCCGGGACGCUCCACCACAGAGGCGAUUCACCUAGUCAGGCGGAUGGCGGAACAAUUCAGGGAUAAGAAGAAGGACCUUCAUAUGGUGCNNNNNNNNNNNNNNNNNNNNNNNNNNNNNNNNNNNNNNNNNNNNNNNNNNNNNNNNNNNNNNNNNNNNNNNNNNNNNNNNNNNNNNNNNNNNNNNNNNNNNNNNNNNNNNNNNNNNNNNNNNNNNNNNNNNNNNNNNNNNNNNNNNNNNNNNNNNNNNNNNNNNNNNNNNNNNNNNNNNNNNNNNNNNNNNNNNNNNNNNNNNNNNNNNNNNNNNNNNNNNNNNNNNNNNNNNNNNNNNNNNNNNNNNNNNNNNNNNNNNNNNNNNNNNNNNNNNNNNNNNNNNNNNNNNNNNNNNNNNNNNNNNNNNNNNNNNNNNNNNNNNNNNNNNNNNNNNNNNNNNNNNNNNNNNNNNNNNNNNNNNNNNNNNNNNNNNNNNNNNNNNNNNNNNNNNNNNNNNNNNNNNNNNNNNNNNNNNNNNNNNNNNNNNNNNNNNNNNNNNNNNNNNNNNNNNNNNNNNNNNNNNNNNNNNNNNNNNNNNNNNNNNNNNNNNNNNNNNNNNNNNNNNNNNNNNNNNNNNNNNNNNNNNNNNNNNNNNNNNNNNNNNNNNNNNNNNNNNNNNNNNNNNNNNNNNNNNNNNNNNNNNNNNNNNNNNNNNNNNNNNNNNNNNNNNNNNNNNNNNNNNNNNNNNNNNNNNNNNNNNNNNNNNNNNNNNNNNNNNNNNNNNNNNNNNNNNNNNNNNNNNNNNNNNNNNNNNNNNNNNNNNNNNNNNNNNNNNNNNNNNNNNNNNNNNNNNNNNNNNNNNNNNNNNNNNNNNNNNNNNNNNNNNNNNNNNNNNNNNNNNNNNNNNNNNNNNNNNNNNNNNNNNNNNNNNNNNNNNNNNNNNNNNNNNNNNNNNNNNNNNNNNNNNNNNNNNNNNNNNNNNNNNNNNNNNNNNNNNNNNNNNNNNNNNNNNNNNNNNNNNNNNNNNNNNNNNNNNNNNNNNNNNNNNNNNNNNNNNNNNNNNNNNNNNNNNNNNNNNNNNNNNNNNNNNNNNNNNNNNNNNNNNNNNNNNNNNNNNNNNNNNNNNNNNNNNNNNNNNNNNNNNNNNNNNNNNNNNNNNNNNNNNNNNNNNNNNNNNNNNNNNNNNNNNNNNNNNNNNNNNNNNNNNNNNNNNNNNNNNNNNNNNNNNNNNNNNNNNNNNNNNNNNNNNNNNNNNNNNNNNNNNNNNNNNNNNNNNNNNNNNNNNNNNNNNNNNNNNNNNNNNNNNNNNNNNNNNNNNNNNNNNNNNNNNNNNNNNNNNNNNNNNNNNNNNNNNNNNNNNNNNNNNNNNNNNNNNNNNNNNNNNNNNNNNNNNNNNNNNNNNNNNNNNNNNNNNNNNNNNNNNNNNNNNNNNNNNNNNNNNNNNNNNNNNNNNNNNNNNNNNNNNNNNNNNNNNNNNNNNNNNNNNNNNNNNNNNNNNNNNNNNNNNNNNNNNNNNNNNNNNNNNNNNNNNNNNNNNNNNNNNNNNNNNNNNNNNNNNNNNNNNNNNNNNNNNNNNNNNNNNNNNNNNNNNNNNNNNNNNNNNNNNNNNNNNNNNNNNNNNNNNNNNNNNNNNNNNNNNNNNNNNNNNNNNNNNNNNNNNNNNNNNNNNNNNNNNNNNNNNNNNNNNNACUUUUUUAUCCUAUACGCCGAGGGUCGAUUGGAAACAGCCUCUCUGCCCUUUCGGGCAGGAGUAAGGCUCAUCUACAUAUUACCCUCCCCAGACCCCACCUGGUGGGAAUAUACUAGGUAGUUGUUGUUGUUGUUGUUGUUGUUUUAUGUAUUCAAUAAGUAUCAAGACUAACAUUAGUGAUGUAAUAGGAAAAUUUAUUCAAUAGAUACUCUUUAUAUAAGUUGUGCAGUUCAUAAAGAUAUGCAAUAACGGAGAGAUAACCAAGAAAUAACCAAGGAAUAACAUGGAUCAAUAACACAGUACACAAGCAAAUGAAGAGGAAAUAGACAUGCUUUUCUAAUCAAACAGGUCAAAGGCAUAUACAAUGCACCAAAUUCACAUACAAGAGAAUAUGCACCAAAUAGCACUAACUCAAAUGCUCCUACAUGAAUGUAGAAUAUCUGUAUAUGAUAAAGGUCCAAUUUCAUAUCAAUUACCCAUUAGCGUUUAUCCAUAUGCUUCUAUACGAGUCAAAGAUAUCCAUGAAAGGAUCAACAUUAAUAUUCAUAUCCUUUAUCCACCCUUAUCUAGUAGAGACAUAUCAAGCACCAAAUUCAUUUAUCCAGUUCAAGUCACAGUAUCUCAUCAUAAUUUGAUACAAGAUCCUUGUACCUAACUCUACUAAUAGAACUCAUGAAUGUAUGAAAUACACCGCAUAAUAUAUAUGGAUGUUAUGCAUGAAUAUGAUAAUAUAAUCAUGCAUGAACUCACACACCUAACACAACUCCUAUGUGCUUGGCUCAAGAUCCAUAUGUCAAAUACCAAGCACUAAUUUAAUGCCUACGCUCAUAUGCGUUAAGUUAAAUUUCAAUGUUUUAAUGAUGACAAUGUUCAACUAAUCUAUUCCACCGGAUCAUCAACAUAAAAGAAAAACAAUGAGAAACUAUCAAAAGAUGUGAUUGCUAAAUUAAUAGACCUUAAGAAGAAAUCAAAAGCCUGCAGAUCUGCUCUGCCACAAUUAAGGAAAUCAGAUUACAAAUCAAGAAGUUAUUGACAUAUUCAGUAUCCAUAAUUAAAGCUCAGUCAAAGGGUUGAUUGUCUCGUAAAUAAAAGUUGUGACAAGGAAACCAUCAAUUCCAAGGGACCUACAUGUGUUCACACUCUGAUCCCUUCUUCACAAAGCUCGCCUCAACGGUCUUGAAAAGAAACUUGUGAUGGAUCUUAUUCAAACGUAAAUGCUUAAUAUAACAACGACGAAGUUAUCAAUGAAGAUUUGUAGGCGUUGAUCGCUCAACAGGUCAAUAAAGCUCUUGAGGCCUUUGCUAGCCAGUUACCUAUAGCACCAUCAACACCAAUUCCAAAUACCAACACUUUGAAAAACCCUCAUUCAGGGCUUGUUAAUUCAGGUAGUAUCGGAAUGCCCAGUGAAUCAUGAGAUGGAGAACCAAGUAACUUAGUCAAUUUCGAUCUACAAAAUUCAAUUCUAACAUUGCAAAAAUAUCUCAAGGAGCAAAGUGACUGCAUGGAGCAAAUACAUGGAGUAUCGCCUGUAAUCAAAGGAAUAGAUAUGGAUAAAUAUUCAUAGCAACCUUGGAAGCCAAGCGCUGCUCCUCUACCAAUCCCAAAGAAAUUCAAAAUUCCUGAUAUUCCAAAAUACGAUGGAACAACUGAUCCACCAGACCACGUGACUGCAUUCACAACUUGCGUAAAAGGCAACGACUUGUCCAAACAAGAAAUUGAAUAAGAAAUGGUAAAAAAAUUAGGUAAAACACUCACACAGGGAACAUUAAAAUAGUAUUCUCUUUUACCCAAAAAUUCCAUAAAUUCUUUUGUUGAGCUUGCAAACUCAUUUAUCAUAAGCACAUUCGAGGGCUCAAAAAGUUGAAAAGAGAAGGGAGGAUAUUUUCAAAAUCAGACAAGGGGACUCUGAGUUACUUAGAGAGUUGGUGGAUAGGUUCUAACAUGAAAGAAUGACGCUAUCACAUGUACCAGAUAAUUGGGCAGCUAUAGCUUUCACUAAUUACUUGAAUGAAAAAAGCUCAGAAGCCACCAGGCGACUCAAGGAAAGUCUUCGUGAAUUCCCAGCAAUGACAUGGAAUGACCUUACAAUAGGUAUAGCACGAAGUUAAGGAUCUAGGAAGAUAUUAUCUCACGAUAUAAAAAAUAAGAAAAGGUGAGUUAAAGACGGGCGGAAAUAGAAAAAAGGUCUGGAAAAAAUAGGUACGAACCAUAUAUGGGCCUCGAUGGAAAGGAUUUACGACCAAAGCAUGAUCAUUCGAGGUACGAUCGUAGAUCCACAAUUAGAGAAUCGGGCUCAUCAUCGUGGUAUGGGAAUGAUUGUAACACACGAGAGUCACAAGAUGAUUAUAGGAACCUGAAGGCCCGAUUUGGUGGUGAUAAUUUUAAUGUAAGCACUUCGGAGCUCGUAGCUAUUUUAAGAAGCAUGGGAGAUAAGGUACAGUGGCAAAAGAAAUGAGAUCAAAUCCAAAUAAACGUUAUCAUGAUCAUUUGUGUGAAGUCCAUAACGAUCAUGGUGACAAAACGGUAGAUUGUAGGUUGUUACAAGGGGAAAUUGAUCAUCUAUUGAAUAAAGGGUAUCUCACUGAAUUAUUCAGUGAGAAAGGUAAGCAAGCAUACAUGAAAAAUAGGCAGGAGCCCCCUAAACCCCUUUCUCCCAAAAGAACUGUCAAUGUUAUAAGUGGAGGUGAAGAAAUCAACCGGGUGACAUACACAGUAGCCAAUAAAGCUUCCAAAGUCACAAUUACCCAUAGGAAGUGGGUGCGACAUGUCUUAGAGGAAGAAAGUAUGACGUUCAAUAUUGCAGAUACGGAUGGCGUAUUAACUCCACAUAACGAUGCACUGGUAAUAUCUCUACUUGUGCAUGAUACUAAUGUGAAAUGAGUUUUGAUUGAUCCAGGUAUUUUGUGAACAUUAUUCUACUAAGAGUAUUACGGGAAAUGCAAGCUAAAGAUAAAUUAGUACCAAAUGCGCAUAGUUUUUCUGGAUUUGCAAUUCUAGCGUCUUGAUGAAAGGAGAGGUAAUACUCACUACAUUCCCAGAAGAUGUUAUCAAAGAUUCAAAAUUUCAGGUGGUAGAUAUGGAGAUGUCUUACAACAUGAUUCUUGGGAGACCAUGGAUCCACGAGAUGGACGACGCUCCAUCGACCUUACAUCAAGUUAUCAAGUUUCCAUAACCAUGGGGAAUAUGUCAAAUCCGUGGAGAUCAACAGACAUCCAGGAGUAUCAAUUCCGUAGCUGAUUCAAGUAUGAGAUACGAAGAAAAAUAGCAGUUACAGAAUCCAAUUGAGGAUAUCACGAUGCAAACCUCAACUGAACAAGGGCGAACAAAUGUUGACUCAAGGCCCGAUGUCAUCCAAGAACCAGAAGAAAAUGAGAAUAUAAAAACAACGAUUGAAGAACUGAAGGCCGUAGUGUUAUCUACAUAAUGGCCUGAAAGAAAAGUUCACAUAGAGGAUAAUCUAGCCGGGACAUGAAAGGUAAGUUAAUUGAAAUUUUGAAAACUAACGUGAACUAUUUUUCUUGGUGCCAUUCUGAUAUGAUAGGAAUACCACCGGAGGUAAUGACUCACAAGUUAAAUGAAUACCCAUCAUAUCCACCUAUCAAACAAAAGAAAAGAAAGCAAGGAACUUUCAAAAAUCAGGUAAUUCAAGAUGAGGUCCAAAAGAACCAGAAGAAAACGAAAAUAUAAAAGUAGCGCCUGAAGAGGUGGAGGCCGUAGUGUUAUUUACACAAUGUCCUAAAAGGAAAGUUUACAUAGGGGCCAAUCUAAUCCAAGUGAUGAAAGGUAAGUUGAUUGAAUUUCUGCAAACUAACGUGGAUUGUUUUGCCUGGUCCCACUCCUAUAUGACAGGAAUACCAUCGGAGGUAAUGACUCACAAGUUAAAUAAAGACCCAUCAUAUCCAUCUGUCAAAUAAAAGAAAAGAAAGCAAGGAACUUUCAAAAAUUAGGUAAUUCAAGAUGAGGUCCAAAAUUAUUAAAGAUCGGAUCUAUCUACGAGGUAAAGUAUCCUAAUUGGUUAGCCAAUACUGUUGUGGUACCAAAAAAGAAUGGUAAAUGGCGAGUUUGUGUAGAUUACACAUACCUUAACAAUGUACUAAAGAUUCUUUUCCAUUACCCCAUAUAGAUCAACUAAUUGAUGCUACGGAAGGACAUGAGUUGCUAAGCUUUUUAGAUGCAUAUUCAGGAUACAAUCAAAUCAAUAUGGAUUCUAUAGAUGAAGAAAAACUUCAUUUAUAACAGACAAGGGGACUUACUGUUAUAAGGUAAUGCCUUUUGGUCUCAAAAAUACUGGUGACCAAUAUGUUCCAAGAACAUUUGGGAAAAACUAUGGAGGUAUAUAUAGAGGAUAUGCUCGUCAAAACUCAACAUUCAGAGGAUCAUAUGUCGCAAUUGUCUAUACAUUUCAAAUAUUAUUUCUAACUGCGGUAUUGAAGUGAAUCUUGCACUGAUUAAGGAAAUUAAAGAAUCCCUAACAUGCUUACAAGUAAAAAAUAAGUGCAGAGGUUGACAGGAAUAAUUGUAUCUUUGGGAAGAUUCAUUUCCAGAUCAUAAGAAAAAUGCUUUAAAUUCUUUUUAGCUCUUAAAAAGCAAGAUCAGUUUGAAUGGACUGAGGAAUUUCAGCAGGCACGCAAAAUUUAAAGAUAUUCUUAUCAAAUCCACCAUUGCUCGCCAAACCAAAAGUUGGGGAAAGAUUGCUCAUCUACCUUUCUAUCUUCGAAGUAGCUGUAAGUGAUGUGUUAGUUCGUGAAGAUCAAGGUAAACAAUCUCUAAUAUAUUAUGUUAGAAAAUCCUUAUUAGAUGCACAGAUACGAUAUCCUCAAUUAGAAAAGCUUGCGCUUGCACUAAUCAUGGCAUCCAGAAAACUAAGGCCUUAUUUUCAAUAUCAUCUUACUGUCGUAGUAACUGCUUAUCUAUUAUGCAAUAUAUUACACAAGCACGAGUUGUUAGGUAAAUUAUUUAAUUGGGAUAUAGAGCUAAGUGAAUUUGAUAUCACAUACUACCCUAAAAUCACGAUAAAAUCUCAAGUGUUAGCUGAUUUUAGCCAAGGAAUGCAAUUAGAAGUAGAAAAAGAGCUACAUGUGUUUAACGGAUCUAAUCCAGGACUUUGGACCUUAUUUAUUGAUGGCUCAUCUAAUGUGAAGGGAGUAGGUUUAGGAGUUGAUUUGGUACCACCUACGGGUGAAACCAUUCGUCAUGCCAUAAAAUGCCAUCCUGUAACUAACAAUGAGGCAGAGUAUGAAGCUGUGAUUGUAGGUUUGUAACUGACACGAGAACUGUGUAUUAAUCAGAUCAUAUUCAAAAGUGAUUCACAGCUCAUAGUUAACCAAAUGCCGGGGACUUAUACAGACAGAGAAGAACAAAUGCAACAAUACUUAGAAAAGGUAAGGGAAUUGAUUAGGCAAUUUCAAACCCGAAAAGUAACGCAGAUAUCAAGAGAUAAAAAUGCGAAAGCAGACGCCCUAGAUAAUCUCUCAUCUGUGGCAGAUGUGACAAGUAAUGAAAAUUCUUAUGUAAUUCAUUUGUUUCAUUUGGCGCUCGAUCCAGACAAGAAUGAGGUAAAUUUCAAUAACUUAACUUGGGAUUGGAGAAACGAGAUUGUCGCUAUUUUGCAGUACGGUACUGUCUCUGAAGGUAAGAAGAAAGCUCACGUGAUGUAAAAAAAGGCUGCUCGAUAUUGCUUAAAGCAAGGUAUUCUUUAUCGAAAAAUAUUUGGUGGCCCCUUAGCAAGGUGCGUCGGGCCUUCUCAAACGUAAUAUGUGAUGAGAGAAAUACACGAAGGGAAUUGUGGAAAUCACGUAGGAGGCAGAUCACUAGUACAAACCAUGAUAAGAAUAUGUUAUUAUUGGCCUAAAAUGGAAGAAGAAGUGAAACAUUUUGUGGCUAAAUGUGAUAAAUGUCAAAGAUACGGUAAUAACAUGCAUUGACUUGCAUAGUUAUUACAUCCGGUCACUGCACCUUGGCCUUUUAUGAAAUAGGAGAUAGCUAUCAUGGGUCCACUACCACAAGCAAAAGGACAUGUAAAACUUUUGCUUGUACUCACUGACUAUUUUACUAAAUGGGUGGAAGCGGGAACAUUCAAACUGGUGUGGGAAAAAGAAGUUAGAGACCUCAUUUGGAGAAAUAUCAUAUGUAGAUUUGGUAUGCCAAAGGAAAUCGUGUGUGAUACCGGCCCUCAAUUUAUAGGCGCACAAAUCACAGAGUUUUUUCAAAGUUGGCAUAUCAAAAGGAUUACGUCUACGCCUUACCAUCCAAUGGGUAAUGGACAAGCUGAAUCAACAAACAAAAUCAUUAUCAACAAUUUAAAGAAACGUUUAAAGGAAUCCAAAGGUAAUUUGCCAGAAUUGCUACCUGGUGUUUUAUGGGUGUACUGCACAAUAACAAAAACAAGUACAGGAGAAACACCAUUCUCAUUAGCCCAUGGAGCUGAAGCCCUAAUUGCAGGUGAGAUAGGAGAGCCAACCACGAGGUUUACACUAGCGUCAAAAGAAUCCAUUGACGAAUAAAUGAGCAUAAGUCUUGAUUUACCUGAAGGAAAAAGGGAAGCAACAUUAACAAGAAUGGCAGCACAAAAGCAGGUUUUGGAAUGAUAUUACAAUCAAAAAGCGCGUCUAAGAUACGUCAAGAUUGGGAACUUCGUUCUAAAAAACGUUUUUCAAUCUACGAAGGCAACUGAUGCAGGGAAAUUAAGUCCAACUUGGGAGAGACCUUACAAGAUUCAUGGCAUUGCGGGAAAAGGGGCAUAAGAACUAGGAACAAUGGUUGGCAAGUUAUUACCCUUACAUUGGAAUGUUGUUCCUUUAAACAUAUAUUAUUUCUACGGAAUACCCAGGGGCAGGUAUCCUUAUUUUAAAAUUUUACUUUUGAAUUGUUAAAAUUUUACUAACGAUUUUAGAUGAUAGGCAAAAAGAUAACCCAUACUAAAUGAUGAGUCACGAUAUGCAAGGCACUUGGAAUUAAUUAAAAUUUCCGGUCCAGAGUUACAAUUAUUCUGAUAGAAAUUGAUACGAGUUAAGCAUUCUUCAUCUAUAAUCAUACCUCCGAGUCCUGUAUUUUUUUUUCUUUUACAGGAACAUGACCAAAAUGAGAAGAAUGAUCAAGUGCUCAGGGCUUCAUACUUUAACACUCAAACACUUGAGGAUUAUAUAAUAUACAUAAACACGUGCAUUAAGAAGGAAAAGAAGAAGAUUGAGAAACAAUCAAAGAUCAAGCCUGAAAAUUUCACUCAUAGAAUGAAUCAACUACAGAGCAGAGUCACGAGCUAAGGUGAAAGAAAAAUCUUAUCAUAGUUUGGGUAAAAGCAAUGUACUGAAACGGGUUAUGAAUAAAAAUCUUGUAUUAAUUUUAUGUACUGAAAAGGUUUAUAUGUAAAAUCCUUAGUGUAUAUUUUCUCUUUGAAAUCUAUUAUAUGAAAAAUAGUUACGAGAAAGUUAUAGAAGUAAUUAAAAUACAUGUAAAGUUUUAUUUAAAAACUUGGCAAAGUUUAAAAAAUAAUUGUUGAAGUUAUUCCAAAAAACGUGCGUAUUCCUAUUUCUUUUAUCGUACUUUAACACCAUUACGAAGUUGAGACGUCUUCUUCAUUAAGUGUCGAAUAUAAAAGGACCCUCUUUUAUAAAUUUCAUGAUUAAUAUAAGUAUUCAUGAAGUAAAAACAUAAGCAUUUUUGAAAAAUAAAAAUACAAGUUAUUAAGUAAGUCCUUAAAAAUAAAGGCAUAUAAUAGACAAAAUAGAAGUUCAAAAAAUAACGGAAACUUCUUCAUAUUAGAAAAGUUUAUACUAAGUAUGGACUUUGUCAUAAACCAAGAGUUGUUUAUAAAAAAUGCCCUACAAAAGUCUGCGGACGUAACAUUUUCAAUAAAUCCUUAAAAAGACCACGAGUUUCUAACACAUACCACUAUAAAAAAAGAAGGUCAAACACCACAAACUUUUCACUAAAAAGAUGAAGGAAAUGAAGCAUGUUCAUUAUCAGUAGCAGGCUCAACUUGACAUGAAGGAGUGGGGAUACCCCUAUCUACAUCAACAUUACUAGAAGCUUCAGCUACGGGAGGUGAAAAAACUUGGUUCUGUUGAGUGCUUUCAAUAGUCUCUUUAAUCUUGGCUAACUCAGAUUAGAAGUUAAAAUUCUCUUAGAUAGCUUCAACGAGGGUAUCAUGGCGAGAAUUUAAGAAUGCCCAAAUCACUUCAAUGACAGAUUUAUCUUCAAAAAUCUCGUAGUCUCUUUCCUAGUCAGCAAUUUAAUUUCUUAAAUUCUCAUUUUCAGUCAAGGCAGAUUCAUAAGAAGCUUGAAGAGAAGCAUGUGAAUUUUCUAAGGUACAAACUUUAUCAGAGGAUACCCAGAGGUCUUCUUGAGCUUGAGUCAAAGUUUCCACAAGUUCACCAGCACAUGCUUCUUUUUAUCCAAGAGAGGCUUCAACUCUCCGAUUUCCUAACUUUCCUUGGAAAGUUGUUCAGAAAAUAAGGUUUCAAGACGAUCUUUUUCUUUGCUUGCUUGAAUUGAGGAAACUUUUUCAACUGUCAAUUCUGAAGUCAAAUCCCUUACCUACUAAUCUAAGGUACCUUUACUUUCUUCUAACGCUUCUUUGUCAAUUUGAAGACUUUCACGUUGUUCACUCCAAUUAUCCACCUCCACUCGGUAGUCACGCACCAAUUGCUUUAAAAGGGUAACUCUCUUCAUCAUCUCCGUGCCGAUGAGAUUGACCUAAAAAGGGAAGGGGUAAUAUGCGAACCUUCAAAAUAGAAAAAGGAAAAGUAAAAUGUAAAAAGGGGAUACCUUUAAAAAAGCAUGCACGAUAUCGUUCAUCAAGGUCAAAGAACUGUGACUGUUGAGCUUAGCUCUCCCGACUGGACUAAUCAAAGGCUUUAGCCACACGACAGCUUGAACUGAUUUCCUCAAAAGAUUACCCUUAGCAGGAACUUCAAUAAUGACUUGCCUCAUAGCUUCACCUCUGCUUGAGGACCCAACUUUGGGGGUAAGGAGCAGAUGAGGAAGGAGUGGUUGAGGGAGGAACAACAGAAGUAGUUAAAACAGAUUGUAGAGGAACAAUGACAACCAUGAUCGGAAAAGAAGAAAUCACAGGAACAGAAGUAAUAGGAAUGGAAGUAGAAAAAGAAGCCAAGGGUGCUUCAUUAGAAACCAGACCAAAAUAUUCACUAUCAAAACCGCGGUUAAAAAGCUGCUCAAAAGAAUCAUGAGCAGUAGUGAACAUCAUCAACAUCAUUAGGGAUCAUCACGGGGGCAUAAAUAGAUUCGUUAAGAGGAAUAGAGCGGCGGAGGGAUGCUUCAUCAUUAGAUAAUCCAUCUACGAGCCCGUGGCCUUGCUACCAAGGAACCCCCAUCUUCCUCUUCCUCAAAAUCUUGGUCAUCAGCGGCUUUUCUUUUCGAUGAAGAGCCAAAAUUAUUUGUUGGGCUCUUUUUAAAGAGAUACCAGAAGCCACGACCGCUUCGACACUAAUCUCUCGAACUACAAAUCCUGAUAAAAAGAAGGAUUAAAGUAAGUUCAGAAAAAAGAAAUAUAUAAAAUAAAAAGAAACUCAAACCCUUAGUUUUUAUUUUCCAACCAAAUCGGUGGGAAAGAGUCUUCCAAGAUCUACUCUCUUCAGCAUUCAGUAACUUUUCUAACAACCACUGAAAUUGAGAAUUUCAUCAACAAUUUCCAUGGUUGUUGCAAAAGGAAAAAGAAACUAGAAUAAUGGUCAUCAAAAUCAAUGGAAAGGGAUACGAGAAAAUUAUUGAAAAGAUAAAAACUAUGUUUAUACUAAGAAGCAACCAUCAAAAGAAAAUGUGCAAUGAUGAAAAGGUUAAAAAUUGUCGCUUCGUAAUUAGUGAAGCCAUAAAAAAGCUUUUAAAAAGCGCUGAAAUUCGCAGAGCUAACAAAAAGGUGCCAUCUGUAAUAAGCAUUUAGAAGUGACAAUUGAAGCGUCGAUUUUAUGAUAAGCAUUAAUGGCGGCAAAGAUCCCACUUUCCAAAUAUUCAAUUGAUGAAUAAAUGGCAAGUGUGGGACUAUCUGUAUUGGAAAAAAUUGAGUUUACACAUAUCAAAGUGAUUGAAGGAUGAAACAUCACGACAUGAAGGCUGGUCAAAGAAUGAUGAUUAGCAAAGAGGUACGAGUUGCAACAAAUACGAGCAGAGACACGAGUAGACUCGACGCUCAUAUAUAUUUAAAUCCAAGAAUUUAGGAGAAUGAGCCUAAUAGUAUAAGGAAGUACAUAUAUAGUAUUUAAUGAACAUUAAAUAUUGAAAAUGUUAGAUAACCAGUAUUAAAUUAUAAUAAUUAUGUAAUGUAGCAUUUAUUGCCUUUAAUUGUCUCUAGUGACCCAAUUAUGACAAAAGGCAAAAUGGAUAUCUUAAAGAUAACUAUAAAAGGAAGGAGAUUAGUCAUUUAUAAGAACACGAAAAUUCAACUGAAUAUACUGGUUUACUUUGUUUUUUGCUAUUUAUUUGUUAUCUACAUCAAUUUUUUUUAUUCAUUUUCAAUUAUCAAUAACUCGAAUUGUUCUAAAAAUAAAGUUUUGACCGAAAUUCCACUUUUUAAUUAAACAAGCUGCAUAUAUUACAGUGAGUAAUACUUUCAAUUAUCUCCUAAUGCAGUGAGGCAAAGAUAAAGUGUUAUUAACGUAAGUCAAGUUGCAAAGAUACUCUUUGAUUGUCUCGAGUCACCUGUAAAAUGCUUGAAGAUUUUUAUUCUAAAGUGCAUGAAUAUUUUUCUAGAUUUCAAAGAAAGUUAAUUGCCUUCAUUCGAGCUCCAGGGGUAAAUCACUACAAUUUACCUGUAUGAAUCCACAUAUCUCUAUUAGUCAAAGGUCUGAACAACCACAAGAUACAAGUGUUAGUAUUCUAUAUUCAAAAAAUAUAUUAAAAAAAUAGAAAAACAAAAUGUUGAAGGACAGAAUUAAUCCGAGCCGCUAUAUUUACAUUGUUUCUUUAAGGAACUUAAUUCCCUCCUAUUACUCAAGAUUCACGAGUUGCUUCCGUCAGAACUGGAACAUCCUUCUCGAUAAACUUCUGUAGACUCAAUAUAGUCAAAUAGAAGAAUUUCUUUUGUUUCCAACAUUUGAAAUCAAACCCGAAAAAUUUUCUAGGCUUUUCUGCCGGAGCUGGUGGUGGCACAGAACGACUGGAAGUAGCAAUAUUGCUCAUAGAGGCAACCACGAGGGUUCCUGUCAGUUUUGUUAAUCACAAAAUAGAAACAAAAUUAUUUAACAGUAAAGUUUUUUAAAAUCUUCAAACCGAAUAACUUUAACAGAAAUAGAUCAAAUACCACAGUGAAGAUUUUAUUUUCUCAAAUUGAAUACAAAAUGAGUAGAAAAUCAGAAAGAUUAUUCUCGCACCGACAACCAAAGAGUUAAAAAUCCGAAGAUUUUAGUCUCCAAACUAAGAGUAGAAAUCACUAGGAUCUAAUCUCCCACAAACAAAAUAUACGAUGAAUAUAGAAAAAUAAAAUUAAGUUUCUUAAGUUUGUUAGUAUUCUAUAUUCGAAAAUAUAUUAAAAAAUAGAAACAAUGUAAAACCAAAAAUGUUGAAGAACAUAACUAAUCCGAGCCCACUGUUAACAGCGUUUCCUUAAGGAACUUAAUCCCCUCCUAGUACCCAAGGUUUAAUAUUAAUUCCUCCCAGGAUAAAACAAAUUACAUACUAGUGUAGUGGUACUUUAAAACCAGUGUCUCAGCAAACACAAUAAUCAGUAGCAAAUCACACUUACUAAUAGAUAACCUCACUAGUGUAGCGGUAUUUCAAACCCCAAUGACCAAUGAACUCAAAGAAUAGUAAUAAAUCACACUUACUGCUUUCGUUUAUGUUAAAAUAAUGCAGAUGGAAGAAGGAGAAAUAUUCAGAAUUUUCUUAUGAAAAAUCUGAGAGAGAGUUCAUGUAUUUAUAUCCAAAAUGUAGGGUAAUACUGAAGAGUUCCAACUCUUCAUAUAAGGCUUCAACUCAAAAUGGUUAUUUUAUAAAAUGGCCAUUUACCCAAACUACCAAAUUCAAAUUAAAAGUGGAAAAAAUGGAGGAUAAAAAUAUAAUUACCGUUACAGAAACGAUCUAAUUUGGAUUAAAUAUAAUUGCAUUAAUAUUAGCAAAAAAAAUUGUCAAAAAAAUAAUCAAUCAAAUAAUUUGAUCAAAGCUGAAGUCGAAGGCGAAGCCGAGCCAAGCAAGCAACGAAGAUGACGACGCAGGGUUACCUUCUUCUCAACUCUUUAAGAGUUAGAAGAAGUGCAAUUGCAAAUAUACUCAUCAAAACUCUUUUCCUCCUCUAAUUUGGGACAAUGCCCUUUGUCAAAGAGGGAAAUUCAAAAAAUUCAUAUUCAUCCCAUUUUCCGUUCACUCUAUUUUAAGCUUGUAGAAGCUUAAACCCAACAAUCUCCACAUGAAUGGGGAAUGAUUAUAAAAUGUACAAGAAUAAAAUGUGUGACUUACAAGUAAGAAUUAAUUACAUCUAGAUAAAUAAGUUUUUCUUUAGACUUUCUGUAAUGAACUUAUAUCGGAUGUACUCGGUCAAUCGGUAGAUUUGAUACCUUUGAACAAUUGAACUUUGUUGUAUGCCUAGACUACCAUAAGUCACACAAUCAACCCUUAAGCGUCUUUGAUUCUCAUUUUUGUGUUCGUUUCAGCCAUGAACACCGCCUGAUUUCAUAAGUGCGUAGAGAACUACCUGAUAGCUUUCUUCUCAUAUGAUAUUUCGAAUAGUGAGAAAGUGAAAUAAUGGGGAAUAUAAUGGAGCGGACGAAUACUCUAUUUCGACUAGAGGAAGAAUCUUUAUUAAAUAGGAUGCCUCCCAAGCGCCGAGGACUAACCGUCAUAUUCUCAAUCGGCUUUGCCUCGUUGCAUACUUUUGUUUAGUAUUCCUUACAGCUAUUCUCCAAUCACCCGAAAGCCUUGCAAAAUAAGUACUUUUAGUUUUUGUAGUUGCGAAAGAAAUAUAUUAUUAAUAUAAAAAAAUAUAACAAUUAGUUUUACAAUAUUAUUUACAAAGAAAUUAAUAUAUAAAGAAACAAUAUCUAUCUUAAAUUUUAAAUUAUAAAGACAUAUAAUUGUUAAAGCUUAGCUUUUAACUUUGAUAGUUAAUUUUAUAUUUAAAAUUUGUAUUUAACUGUGUAAUUAUAUUUAUGUAUUCAAAUAUUAUACUUGUAAUUACAUUGUAACUACAUUUGUAUUUAUACUGCAAUUAAAUUUUGACAAACAAACAAACCAUCAUAAUUACGAUAUUAUAUAAUUACUAUUUUAAUAAUUAUACCAAUUCCAAUUAGCUAGUGGCUUUCCAAAUAAACCCUUGUAUAUCUUGAUGGAAUUCAACAAGUUAUGUAUGAAUUUUAAAGUACUCUUUCGAGUGCUGUUGCAUUCAGAUUUCAAGAUGAUAAAUAGUUAUUGAGAAACUGGAUAUUGAAUGCCACGCGGUUUUGUGAGGCGGAAAAAGAUAAAAGAAAUUAAGGAUUUUAAAUUAAAAGCGUAAACAAAGAGUUGACUUUUUGCAAACAAAUGAGUAAAUGCUAAUUGCUGUCAUUUUGACUCUUUUUGUUGGGAUAAACCUUUCACCUCUUCAUCUUUGGUCAGCGUAAACAUCACCUUGGUCUUCUCUCCCUUCUCUCUCUUCUCAAAUCAUGUAUAUAUAUAUAUAUACAAGAACCCCCUUUGUCUUAGAUGCUAUAUAUUGUCUCAUCAUUUCUUUCAUAUCAGAAGAAGAGCUAGCUAGAUAAACAAAUAAAGCUAAGUACUUUAUUUGUUUUCACACUUGAACUCCUCAAAAAGAUUUCUAAUAAUAUGGGAAGGCCACCUUGUUGUGAUAAAAUUGGUGUGAAAAAAGGACCAUGGACACCAGAAGAAGAUAUAAUUUUGGUAUCAUAUAUUCAAGAACAUGGUCCUGGUAACUGGAGAGCUGUUCCUACUAAUACUGGUAAACAUCCUAAUCUAACUUCUUCUUUUUUUUUCCUUUUUUCUUUUUCUGGGCUUUUGGGGUUGGUUAAAAUCAUUAAAUAUGUGUAGUUAAUAUUCUGCAGCUCUAUCACCUCCUUCUUGAAUGAAUACAUCGAUCUCAUUAAUUAGAUCUAACUUUUUGUAUACUCACAACCUUUAAAAAAAAUAAAAAAUCUUUGUCUUGGUUUUUUCAGGAUUGCUUAGAUGCAGCAAGAGUUGCAGACUUAGAUGGACUAACUAUCUGCGUCCAGGCAUCAAACGUGGCAACUUUACCGAGCAUGAAGAGAAAAUGAUUAUUCACCUACAAGCUCUUCUUGGCAACAGGUACUAAAUCAAUCUCUAAACAAGAAUUUAAACAAAUUCUUGUUUUUUCUUUGGUUUCUAGGGCUAAAGUCUAGGGCACACGGAAUUGAACUCAAUAUUUUCGACAAGGAACAUACAUUCUUUUUUUUUGGUUUCUAGGGCUAAAGUCUAGGGCAGACUUAAUUGAACUCAAUAUUUUUGACAAAGAACAUACAUAUAUUGACUCGAAAGAUAUAUAUGUACAAGAGAAAAAACCACUAUAAUUUUGACAAUUACUAAAUUUAAACCUAUAUUUAUAAGUAAUAGAUUCAGUCUUAACAAACUUUACAUUAAGUUAAAUCCAUCAGUUUUUACGAAAUCUUAAUAGAGAUAUUUACUUGUUCAAUUUUCCAGUAGGUAUGGUUGGAUCUUAUAUCAUUUAUCUAACUCUUGUCUCUCUUUUUUGGUUCUUGUUGAUAUAGAUGGGCAGCCAUAGCUUCAUAUCUUCCACAAAGAACAGACAACGACAUAAAAAAUUACUGGAAUACUCAUUUGCAAAAGAAACUUAAGAAGAUUCAAGGUCAUGAUCAAAAGGAAAAAUCAUCAUCUUCAUCAUCAUCAUCUCAAUCAAUCUCAAAAGGACAGUGGGAGAGGAGACUUCAGACAGAUAUCCACACAGCUAAACAAGCUCUUUCUGAUGCUUUAUCCCUUAUCAAAAGAACCACGGAUUUCUCACCAAUUAUUAAUCCUAGUACUAAUUCGUUUCCUGUCCAAACAUCUACUAAUACCUAUGCGUAUAGUGCCGAUAACAUCUCUCGAUUGCUUCAAAAUUGGAUGAAAAACUCGCCAAAAUCAUCUCAAAGCAUAUCUAAUAACUCAACCACUAGUCAGUGUUCUUUCAACAAUUUAUCAAUCGGGACGGGUUCGAGUUCUAGUCCUAGUGAAGGAACCAUGAAUGCACCAACACCAGAGGGAUUAGACUCACUCUUUAGCUUCAAUUCAUCCUAUAAUUCUGAUGUUUCUCAGUCCAUGUCGGCGGACGAGGUUGUUGCUUUCACACCUCAGAAUGCUGGAAUUUUCCAAGUCGAAAGCACCAAACAAUAUUUAUCAAAUUUCAAGGAUGAAAACAGAUUUUUUUUCCAAGAGGGAAAUAGCAAACAAAAUUUGGAGACGGAAGUACCCUUAACUUUGCUGGAAAAUUGGCUCUUUGAUGAUUCUAAUGUACAAACACAAGAAGAGCUAAUGGGAAUUGGAAUAGGCAUGGAAUGGCUUUGAGGUAGAACUGCUGAUUUGUUUUGAGGAAAUAUAAUCUUGAAGAAAUAAUGAAGGAUGUAUUUCUUCAAAACAAAUAUUGACAGUUUUGGUUCUUUUUGCUAUUUUCAGGUUGUUACUUGUUAGGCUUUGGACUGUAUAGGUUUUAAUCAAUUUCUAGCCUCAGUAGAAACUUGUUAGAAGAGCAUGAGAAAGUGUAACUAUAUAUGUAACCUUAAAUCAGCAUAUGUACUAGUAGAUAUAAAUAAUAAAAGCAGUACUCUAUGCUAAGAGCUUCAACUGUUUGUACUUUAUGCUCCACUUUAUGUUUUUUUAAUUCUUUUAUUUGGUUGCUCAACAUUUUUGGUAUGAUGUGAGAAAUAAGAAUUAGGGUUUGAUUUCAGAUGCUUCCAAGUUCCAUUUACAUCAUCAACAUAGGGAGUUUAUUUUCAUAUAUUCUGCCUCUCUGGCUUGAUGGGCAUAUGUAUAUCUUUAUUUUCACCACGUAGUUUUGAACGCAAAAAAAGAAGAAUAUUUUCAUCCUAUACAGAGCACAUAUAGCAUCAUUGUUCAUCAUUUUCGAGCUAAUUAUCAGAUGAGUGUACCUUAUAUCCAUAAAUGCACAUAGUGGACAUGAUUCUUCCCAUUAAGCCAGUUGCUAAAAUCAUCUUAAUUAAAUUGAAAUGAGAAAAAGCCACGGAUGCAGCGAUAGACCCACCCUUGUCGAAGUUUUUUCUUAUAUAUUACUUAUUUAUAUUUUGACGUCCUUAAUGAGUACUCUGACUUCACUACUGCUAUGAGAGUUUAAUCAUGAGUAACAAAAUUUUAAGCAAAAGAACUUUCUCUCUUUAGAAUGAGAGCUUGUCUCAGCUAAGGGUGAAAUGACGAAGAAUUAACGGACUGGAGGGAAAGGACAAUUAGGAACAAUGAAUUAACAGAGAACUAUUGGCAUGAGAGUAAUUCCACAAACUAAAGAUGCAAGGAAAACUAGGAGCGUUAAUGUUGUACAAGGCGUAAUUCUGCUGGAAUUGAAGCAGACACCUGUGGUAGGAUCAUCAACGGAAACACCAAUGGCAACACCGACCGUAAUUAAGCAGACGGAUGCUAGCAAUCAAGCACAGUCUAGUAGGAAGAAAUCAUGGGCGGAACAUGUGGAAACGAAGGAGAAAAUCAUAGUUAAAUCUCAAACCUAGCUACAAAUUUGAAAUCUUGCAGUAAGAUAGUAGGAAGUACACCAGUAGCUGAGGGAUUUGACGUAGAAGGCUUAGUGAAUUGUAAUUCUAAUGUCAAAAUUACGAUGGAAGAUGCAAAAGAGGAGAUAGAAUAUUGGCAAACUGCGAUUGUAUAUUUUGCGGUGGGAUUAAAUCCCCCUCAAACAGUGGUGGAGGGAUAUUUCAAUCAUAUAUGAAAUGCUUUGGGGAUUGAUAAGGUAGCACAAAUAAAAAAAGUAGUGUUUAAGGUCAGAUUCCAUAGUAUAGAAGGGCAUAUGAAGGCAAAUUAAGGGGGAGUGGAGAUAUUUGAUAGAAAAUCAAUGGUAGUUAAGCCAUGAAUCAGGAAUGAAGAUAAUGAAUGUAACAGUGGAACAUGUGCCUAUAUGGAUCAGAUUAGUGGGUCUAGAUCUGAAAUACUAGGGGCAAAUAGUUCUAACAAAAAUAGUUGGGCUGGUGGAAAAAUCUAUGAAAGCUGAUAUUGCAACAACGAGCAAAGAGAAACUCAUGUAUGCAAGGGUAGCAGUAGAAGACAUUUGCAUAAAGCAUAUCAAGAAACUGCUAUGUUUGAAAAUGAAUUGGGAUGAAUUAUUGAACAGAAAAUAGAAUAUGAAUGAAAACCUAUAAUAUGUUGAUAAUAGGUUAUAUAGUUGAUAUUUACAUAUUAAUAUGACCAUACUUUGUUGUUAUUUUAUAGAUAAAUUGCCAAAAAAUGCUCUAAAUAGUGUCCUUUUGUUUCGCAGGGAAUAUUAUAUGGGAGAAAACAACAUGGAGUGUGUUGGAGGCGAUUAUAUGAAGAAAAGGCCCACUCGAGAAGUACCCGAGCACGAAGAAGCAGAAAUGGUCCGGGCAAGAAGGCCAUUGCAACCGCGGUAGCACCAUGGUGAACUACGGUGGAUUAAUAAGGCGAGGCAAAAAGAUCAGCUUUCAUCGCGGUAAACUGUUCAUGCGGCUGGAAGUUUGACGACCAAAGUGUAAUUUCGGGGAUACUUUUGUAAAACCCUUAUAAGCUUUAGAAACUCGCCCAAGAUUGCACUAAGCUUGUUUUUAGACUACUUUUGGAGACGAGAACAACUGUGAGAAGACCAACCGACAUUAGAGUUUUUCUAUCUACUUUUAAUUCUUGUUAUUUUACAUUGUGAAUAAUCUAUUAGUUUUCUCUUAUUUCAUUAUGAGUAGCUAAACACUUAUCUAGGGUUGAUGGAACCAAUUGUUGGUUGAAGUUUUGACUCGAGUUGUUAUAGUGGAGCCGAAUUUAUGAUAUAAUUGUUCAACUAUGUUUUGUAUGGUGAUUAAUUGAAUGGACCCUUGGUUAAUCGCGUCUAAUUACCUUAUAUUGCUUGAGAAAGGGUAUUACGUUAGACCGCUAUUGAACAACACUAUUUUUAGGUAAUUGAAGAGAUUCAUUACUUGAAUUUAAUAGUGAGUUUAGAGAUAACAAAACUUUGGUGGGAUAAUUUAGAGUUGCAGACAUAUUAUUAGAUAGAGUAGUUCGAGAGAAUGCUCUAGUUAAUUAUUGUAGUUGAUCGAGAGAUAAUUACAAUAACCCAUAACGGUUAAUCCUCAUAGAGUAGUACAGUGAGAUUAUAGCUGAAGAGUCAAGACCUAAACUAGCAAUUGGAGAAAUCACUUCUCUAGAACAUUUUACCAUUGAAUUAUCCUUUUUUUCGCUUAUUGUAGUUUUUAAUAGUAGUUGAAGUAGUUAAACAAAAAUCCAAUCCUAUUUGAUAAAACAUAUUGCAUCUAGAGAUUGAUUGAAUUGAUAAUAUCAGUGCCGAAUAGUGGAAUAAAUAGGUUGUUUCCCUAAGGAUUCGAUUUCUGACUUAAAAACCAUAUUAUAUUUGUAGCAACCUCUUUACCCGUUAAAUGGAAUAGUUGGGCGUUAUCAGAUUUUUGGCGUUGUUGCCGGAGAACUAAUUGUGUUAUUUAUUACAACUUAGAAGUAAUGUUUAAAAUUAUUAAGUCAAAUCUAUUUUCAAAGGUGUUAAACAAUUUUCAUUGAAUUUCUAACGUUUGAACUCUUGUGGACUUCAGGUGUAUGCCUAGAAAUUCUUCGAGGACUUGAGAACUACUUGAAGGCUUUCAGACGCAAAAAAAAUAUUUAGGGCAUUGAACCGUGCCAACAAGAGAAUCCAACAAUCAUAACAACCACACCAGCUCGAAUUUGACAUGGGUGAUGCAGAAAACGUCAACGAAAAUGUCGAGGAUCCGCCAGUGAUCCCUAACGUUAGAGUAGUGGUACCUUUUGUACCAGAAGGUGCACUUUGUGAUUGGGCACAUCCCACAGCUGACAACCUGGCAACUGCCAUAGCUGUGCCCGCAAUUCAAGCGGAGACGUUCCAGAUCACUAACAACGUGCUGCAUCUGCUGAAGAAUUAGGGAUUGUUCUCUGGGUCAACAUUGAAGACUCUUAGCAACAUUUGAAAAAUUUCUGUCAAUUUGUGUGACUUAAAGGCAACCAAAUGUAACCCCGGAAGCUAUCAAGAUAUUACUAUUCCCAUUCUCUGGGACCGGGGAAGCUCAGACUUGGCUAAAUUUGCUCCCUAUCAAUUCCAUUGUCACUUGGGAGGAAUUAGUAAAGCAAUUCCUGAAUAAGUUCUACCCUUCCAACAAGACUGCAAGGUAGAUUGAUGAAAUAUUGCAGUACAAGCAGCAGCCGACAGAGACCUUGCAGGAAACUUAGGAAAGAUUCAAAAGUUUGUUGGUGAAGUAUCCUCACCAUGGCAUUCCAGACCAGAUGCUUGGCUAGAGGUUCUGUAUGGGUUAGCUAACAAUCUAAAAGCAAAUGUGGAUGCUUCAGCUGGAGGUGCCUUUUUAAGUAAGACAUUCACUGAGUGCAAAGUCCUCUUUGACAAGAUGUCCCAGAAUUCGGGAAGGAUGACUAGAGGUACAACACUGGCACCCAUUACAUUCAGUUCCUCUUGACCCAAAUAAUUUAUAUGCAGAGAACAUGGCCACACUCAUGACUCAGAUGAGUAUUUUGACGAAGAAGAUAGAUGAAAUGGUUACCAAACAAGUGCAUAUUGUUGACACAACAAAUGGAGGACUGUGUACACCCUCUGUUAAUCAGUCUUAUGUGUGUUCAUGGAGUGGAGAAGGUGAAAAUCAAGGGGAAAGGGAAGAUAUUAUUUUGGGGUUAGAGACAAGAGGGACGACAGUGGAGACCGACACCAAAUCUGCAAUACAAACCCGACAUGCCUCAUCCUAAGGGCAUGCAGGCUCAAGGCCAAAUGGUGCCAUACAACCAGAGACAAUAGGGUUACCCACAGCAGAACCAGCAAUAGUUAAUAUAUCAGCCACCUCCUCAGCAGCAAGAUAACAACAUGGUAGAGAUUAGAGCGAUGCUCCAACAACUCAGUGGGACAAAUGGUAAGAUACAAGAAAAUUUGGGAGUACAUGAUUCAGCUAUAAAGAACAUUGAAACUCAGUUGAGGAAGUUAUCUAUGGCUUUAAACAAUCACCCCUAGGGAAUAUUGCCAGCAGACACAAAUAUUAACCCCAAGGAGCAAAACUCGAAUUAGCUGAUGGCAGUAAGUCUCCAGAAUGGGAGAAAUUUAGACAAAGAGCAGGAGGUUACACAAGCUAGCAAAGAAACUAUGCCAGCCACUCCAAUUCCACUAGAGAUAGAUGAAACAAAAAAUCCGACUGAAGUGGUGGUUGGACAGGGGCAAGACGAAAAAGGUAAGGCUAAAGCAAAUGAACCAGUAGCCAGACAGGUGACGCCUCUUAUGUCACAGAACCCCAAUAGAGAGAAGCCAGCAAGCAGUGCACAAUGAGUGGUAGCUGCAUCAUUCCCUCAAAGACUAGUAAAACAAAAGAAGGAAGAUCAAUACAAGAAAUUCAUUGAGAUGCUGCAUUAAAUUCGAUUGAAUAUUCCCCUGAUGGAUGCUUUGAGGGAGAUCCAGGUUAUGCGAAGUUGAUGAAAUACCUAAUGUCAUGGAAGUUUAAUUUUUAGGACCUAUCCACAGUGACUUUGAUGCAUACCUACAAUGCAGUAGUGACCAGACCGAUGGCUCAAAAGAUGUCUGACCCAUGUAGCUUCAAUAUUACUUGCACAAUUGGGAGUUAUGCCUUAGCAAAGGCAUUAUGUGAUUUGGGAGCUAGCAUAAACUUGAUGCCUCUGGAUGUAUACACCAAACUAGGCAUUGGCAGAGCUAGACCGAUGCUGCUACAGUUGGCUGACCGCACGGUAAAAAGGACUACUAGGAUUCUUGAUGAUGUGUUGGUGCAAGUGGGGAAGCUCAUGUUCCCUGCAGACUUUGUUAUUCUGGACUAUUAGGUAGAUGAGGAGAUACCUAUCAUUUUAGGCAGGCCAUUUGGCCACUGGGAGAGCACUGACCGAUUGUGAGACUGGUGAAUUAAAAAUGACACUGAAUGAUGAAGAAGUCAUAUUAAAUGUUUAGUAAUUUAUGAGGAGACCCAGUGAAUAUGCUAAUUGCUCUCUGUUGGACGCAAUUGAUGUGAUCCUGCAAGAAGAUGAUGUGACCCUGACUGCUAAUGAUCCAUUGGAGGCAGGUCUGACAAACUUAGAAGAGAUGGAUGGUGAAGGGUUAGCUGAGUGGUUUAUGGCACUUGAAGGCACAUGAUUCUGGAAAAGGGAACCUUAGUUUGAGUACCUUGAGUUAGAAAAAACACACUACCAGCAAAGCCAUCAGAAGAGGAACCAUCCAAGAUGGAGCUGAAGCCGCUCCCAGCUCAACUCAGGUACAUUUUCCUAGGCCCUAAUUCUACUUAGCCUAUUAUUAUAUCAUCCGGUUUACUAGAUGUGCAAGUAGAACAUCUCUUAUAGGUACUGUAGGAAAGUAAGACUGCCAUUGGCUGGACCAUGGUAGACAUAAAGGGUAUCAGCCCAGCCUUCUGUAUGCAUAAGAUUCUCUUGGAAGAAGGGCACAAACCUUCCAGAGAACAUUAACUAAGGUUGAACCCGAAUGCAAAGAGGUAGUAAAUAAGGAAGUGAUCAAAUGGUUAGAUGCGUGAAUCAUCUACCCCAUUUCGAAUAGCAAUUGGGUGAGCCCUAUCCAACGUGUUCCGAAAAAAGGGGAAUGACUGUUGUGCUAAAUGAGAACAAUGAGUUGAUCUCAACUCGUACAGUCAUGGGAUGGUAGAUUUGCAUGGAUUACCGAAAAUUGAACACAGCCACCCAGAAGGAUCACUUCCCCUUGCCUUUCAUUGACCAAAUAUUGGACAGGCUGGCGGGGCGAUUGCACUUCUAUUUCUUGGAUGGAUAUUUGGGGUACAAUAAGAUAUCAAUAGCCCCCGAAUAUAGAGAGAAAAAAUUCUGCACUUGUCCUUAUGGCAUCUUCGCCGUUCAAAGAAUGCCUUUUGGUAUUUAUAAUGCACCGACGACAUUUCAACGGUGCAUGUUUGCCAUUUUCUAGGAAAUGGUGGAGGAUAAUAUGGAGGUCUUAAUGAAUGAUUCCUUUGUGGUGGGAGACUCAUUCGAGGACUAUCUUCACAACUUAAGAAUAGUGAUCAAAAGAUAUAUGGAGUCAAAUUUAGUGUUGAACUUGGAGAAGUGCCAUUUUAUGGUACAUGAAGGGAUAGUCCUUGGGUAUCAAGUAUCCAGUAAAGGAAUUGAGGUCGACCAUGACAAGGUUAGAUGUGAUUGAAAAGCUACCACCGCCUUCUUCAGUCAAGGAUGUGAGAAGUUUCCUUGGGCACACCGGGUUCUACAGGCGAUUCAUAAAAGAUUUCUCCAAAAUUGCUAACCCAUUAUGCAAACUUCUUAAAAAGGAUCACCCCUUUGUAUAUAAUGAUUGCAGGUUGGAAUUUGAGGAGCCGAAGAAGAGAUUGGUUACUGCACCCAUUAUUGUUGCACCCAACUUGGAGCAACCAUUUGAGCUCAUGUGCAACGCAAGAGACUAUGCCGUACGAGCAGUCUUGGAGCAACGAAAGGAUAAGUUGAUGCACCCGAUUUACUAUGCAAGUAGAGCACUAAGUGGUGCACAACUUCGUGAGUGCGGUAUUAUUAUUGGGAUGAACCUCUAUUAUUUAAAUAUGUGUAGAUAACAUGAUCCUACAAUGUAUCCCCGAGAAAGAUCAACAUGCUAUUUUGCAGUCUUGCCAUGCUUCACCAUAUGAUGGAAACUUUGGAGGAAUUCAAACAGUAGCAAAGGCGUUGGAGUCAGGCUUGUACUGGCCUACUCUAUUCAAGGGUGCCCAUGCCUGGGCUAAAAGCUGCGAUGAAUUCCAAAGGACAGGUAACAUAUCUCGUAGAUACGAGAUGCCAAUGACUACAAUUCAAAAGGUGGAGAUUUUUAAUAUGUUAGGGAUUGAUUUCAUGGGGCUGUUCGUCACCUUAUAUGGUAACAAGUACACAUUGGUAGCAGUUGAAUAUGUCUCCAAGUGGGUCGAAGUAGUGGCUCUUCCGACCAAUGAUGCAAAAGGGGUACUAGGCUUUCUAAAUAAGAACAUUUUCACACGUUUUAGUACCCCAAGAGCUAUACCUAGUGAUGGGGUAACUGCAAUAGAGCAUUCGCACGGCUGCUGGAAUAAUAUGGUGCUCAUCAUAAAAUGACCACCCCGUACCACCCACAGUCGACAGACAAGUUGAAGUGAGCAACAAGGAGAUUAAAAUUGUCCUCACAAAAAUAGUGAAUGCAAUAAGGACUGACUGGGCAAAGAAAUUGGAUGAUGCAUUGUGGGUGUACUACACAACCUUCAAAUCCGCAAUUGGUAUGUCACCAUACAAGCUGGUGUUUGGCAAGGAAUGUCACUUCCCAGUUGAGCUAGAGCAUAAAGCACGUUAGGCAUUGCGGUAGUUAAACUUAGACAUGGAGACAACAAGUACUAACAGAAUCACUGGUUACAUGAGCUCGAGGAAUUCAGGUUCCAGGCUUUUGGGAGUGCUAGAUUAUCAAAGAAAUGAUGAAAUUAAUGCAUGAUAAGCACAUCUUAGAUCACAACUUCAAACCCGGAGAUCUUCUAUUGUUAUACAACUCGAGAUUGAGAUUGUUUCCGGGUAAGUUAAAGUCCUAGUGGUCAGGAUCCUUUAGAGUGGUGCAAAUGUUCUUAAGUGGAGUCGUAGAGAUUGAAUAAGAAGAUAGGACAAAUAAGUUCACAGUAAAUGGGUAAAGGUUGAAACAUUACCUAGGAAUGGCUGAAGAAAAAGGGGACAUAGUGGUAAUCAAUUUGGAAGAGCACAGUAUGCGAAUGAGGAGUGAUGAUCAAAUACUGGCGUCGUGCCACAACGUUAAAUCAAGCGCUGCGUGGGAGGCAAACCAUGAGUGUAUUGUUAGUGUCAUGUAACUUCAUAUAUAAAAAAGAAGCAAUUCCAGCACCGUGACCGUAGUGAACCGCGGUGGAAGGCAAACAUUCUGCCUCACAUUCUUUAUUCCACUGCGACCGCGAUGGACCACGGUAAAUUGCGGUGAGGCCUGAACAUUCUUCCUCAAGUUUUUAAACCCACCACGGUCGACCGCUGGGGUACCAGGCAUGUUAAUUUUUUUUCCGUUUUUCUUAUUUUCUUAUUUUCUUCUUCUUUUAAUUUUAAACAUCAAAACAAACCCCCCUCCUAAAACCAAACAUAACCGACCCCCCUCCCCCAAAUUCCUAAUCUCUCUCUCUCUCUCUAAAACACAACCCCCCAAAUUCUCUUUUCUUCCUCUUCUUCUUCUAUAUUCAUACUACUCCCAUCUCCAUUCAUCUCCUCUUUUGUCCAUAAAGGUAUGAUUCUAACUCUCCCUUCUCUUUUCCUUUUGUACUUUGUGUUGUUUAUGCUAGUUAAGGGUGAUAUGGUGUUGUAAUUGUACUAGAUUUUUUAGUUUUGUUUCUUCUUGUUUUCUAUGUUUAAUUUUUUUUGACCUUUAUUGGUAAAGGGAAUGUUAAUUAAUGUGGUGGAAAGGUGUUUGUUGGUGGGUGAUUGAAUUACACAAGUGUGGGGUGUGUUGAUGUAGUUUUAUACUUGAAUUGGGAGGAAUUUUGAGACUCAUGAGGGCUAUAUGUGUUUAAAUAAUGCAACGCCCACAAUGUGUUUGGUAAAUUGCCCCAAUGGAGUUAUAAGAAGAUAUUGCGACAUGGUAAUAGUGAAGUCUGAGUAACCAUCCAUAGUCACAUAUUUCGAGCACUUACUAAUAGGCACUUCUCUGUUUUGACAGGUACAAUGAGCUCAUCUUGAAAGUGAUGCAACACCUGGCCCUCAACUAGUGGAACGGGAAGCUCCUCACGAGCUAGGAGCCAAGCUAGUGCACCUCAGUUCGGUAGCACUCAGUUUGUAUCCAAAGCAGUGGAGGAUAGGUACAACUAGAAAGGAACUAAGAAAUUACGACAGAGGUGCACAUUGAUCGAACAUCGUUGGAGGUGGAAUGCCCCAAUAUGUUUAAUGAGCUGAGGCGAUGUCAGCUGGACAUCUUCUUCGAGGUACCAGAGGAGGCUAAUGUUCAGCUAGUACGAGAGUUUUAUGCGAAUAGGCCAGAACAUGAGAAUGGGGUUGUGACGGUUCGCAAUACCCCGUAAAUUCAUCCAUUGACACCAUCCGCAGGGUAUACAGGCUGCAAGUGUUCAGGGGUGUCGAUGAUCCUUAUCGUACUUUUAGCAGUACACGAGCCUUGUGGGGAACUCUUUUUGAUACUAUUUAUGUGCCCGAUGGAGAAUGCCUAUGGACCGCACCCAGAAUUACAGUUAACUCCCACUGUCUGAAUUGGGAGGCUAAGUGUUGGCUCACAAUUAUCAACAGUCGAUUGUUUCCAUCCAAUAACAUGACAGAUGCUAAUCUACCACUGGCAUCGGCAAUACACUGUUUCAUGACUCAUAGUGAUUUUGAUGUGGCCCGGCUCAUUCAUAAAGAGAUUUUCUUCAUAUCCCUUAAGAUAAUCAAGGGCCAUUACUUCCUCUUUGUUGAUCACCCUGAUGUGUCGUAUUGCUAGAGACCCUGAAGACCUUCGAGAUUUCCACUGAAAGCCCCGUUACGGGAGAAAAAAACUGGAAUUGGACGAGAGCCGAUGGUGAAUAUUGAUGACAAUGAUGAGGAUUCAACUGAUGAUGAUGAUGAUGAUUAUCAGAUAGCUGUAGUCCUCCUCCUUCGAGAGCUAAUGUGGUAGGCCAACCCAGCCACGCCGGAGGACCCAUAUGAUAGCUUUGGAAUAAGAAAUGGCUGGGUUACGUACCUCAAUCAAUGAUUUGGGUACCCGUGUUGAUGCAAUGGCUGAGAGGCAGGUGAAUUUGGAGAAGAAGUUCUUAGGCUGGUUGAGAGCUCUGGCACGUGCUUGCAACGUGAACCCAGACACAAUCGUCGAUCAGGAGUGAUUCUCAAGGAAGUUCCUUAACCUCACUGUUCUUUCAAAAUUUUAAGCCAUGGGGACAUGUCUUCAUUUUAAGUGUGGGGUGUGGAUACUUCACUAUAUGUUUGUAAUUGUAAUAAUUGAUUCUUUGAUUUUGUGUGUUUGUUUUGUUUUGAUUGUUUUGACGUUUGAGUGAUAGUUCAUUAGGAAUGUUAUAAUAGCAAGUGCGUUGUCCCAACGACGGAUCUCUUUUGGUGGAGUUAUCUAGGGACUAAGUCGAGGUAAAGAAAAGAGAAUAGGGAGACUCUUCCUGAUAACGGAUCCUUUAGACAACUGUCUUGAGGGAAGUUAGUCUAGAGAAAAAACAAAAAAGAUUUCUUUCUAAUUUUUAGGUAGUGGAAUAACUCCCCCUUGGUUAUUCUUUGGGCCACGGUUCUUUUCUAAGGGUUUAGCUUGAACCAGGUAUCGGUAGUUUUUUUUAUUUUUAGUUUUGAAAUUAGGACUAAUGGGCUAUGAGAUAAAUUCAAAGGAAAACCCUUAGCAUUGAAACACCUGAGCACAAUAGACACUAGAGUGUAAUGCCUAGUUUCAUUGGUUGAAUCUUGUUAGAGUGCCUUAAAAUUGUGCGUUUAUACCUAACUUGAACACUCGAAAGAGAAUGUCUUGACAAACUAAGUCGGAGUGAGUCACGUGCCAUGUGUAUGGGAGUUUUAUUGUUUUCCAUGUUUCAUACUUGAUGCCUAGAACUUGCCCUGUGCGUUUGCAAAGAAAAAUAGUAGUCUCUUUCAGUUUUAGGAGUUAUAUAAGCAUUUCUUUGUUGAGCCCUACAUAUAAAGUAAACCUACAUGAAUGCAAUAUAUCUUAGUUAACCUUGUUGAGCCUAUAAGCCUAUUUCUUUGGCAACCACAUUACGAACCUUACCUAAUUGUUUGAAUAGCUUGCUGUUUAAAGCCUUUUUCCUCCCAUUGGAAAUAUGCAAAAACAAUAGUGUGGUUGGGUGGUUUGGUUUUUAGGUGGAACCAUUGAGAUGGAGAAAAGGUGUGAAAUUUUGAAGCAUAAAAGAAAAAGCACCGCGAAAAAAAAUGGUUUAUAAAUAAUUAUAGUGGUUGAUAAGUGGUGGCUUGUACAAAUUGCACCUAAUGGAUUGGGAUGUUUUAAACAAAUGAGGUGGAAAUGUUUGGUUGGCACAACUAUGAUCUUUAAGUUUAAUGUAAUUGUAUUAGAAGUGCUUAGGUAGGUUAACUAUAUCUAAAUAUAUCCUACCCGUCCCUUAGCCUACAUUAUAACCAAGUAAAGUCCUAUUGAUCUUAGACUGAUUAGAAUCAAUUAGUAGAGUAUUACACUACAGGCAAGUCUAUGGUGCAUCUUUGUGGCAUGUGAAUGUUCUUUUUGAGAGUGAGUGAAAGAGUUUGAGUAAGUGCAAGUGUGGCAUGGUACAAAAGGUUUGAACCUAGAGGUAAAGGUUGGUCACUUCUAGGUGAAACUUUUGUAAGAUGUUCAUGGUGUUAGUCGUUAAGGAAAAAGCUUAGGAAAGGAAUUUUGAUGGAGUAUGGUGGAUUGCUCGACGACUAGCAAUAAUUUAUGUGUGUGAUGUUGAUAAUAGGCUAUAUAGGUUAUAUUUACACCUUAAUACGACCAUACUUUGUUGUUGUUUUAUACAUAAAUUGCCAACAAAAUGCUCUAAAUAGUGUCAUUUUGUUUCGCAUGAAAUAUUAUAUAAGAGGAAGCAACAUGUAGUGUGUUGGAGGCGAUAAUGUGAAGAAAAGGCCCACUUGAGAAGUACACGAGCACGAAGAAGCAGAAAUGGUCCUAGCAAGAAGGCCAUCACGACUGCGGUGGAUUAAUAAGGUAAGGCAAAAAUGAUCAGCUUUCACAGCGGUUGGUCGCGACCGCGGUGAACUGUUCAUGCGAAUGGAAGUUUUAGUACCAAAGCGUAAUUUUGGGAAAACUUUUGUUAAACCCUUAUAAGCUUUUGAAACUCGCCCAAUGUUGUACUAUGCUUGUUUUUAGACUACUUUCGGAGGCAAAGAAAAGUGUGAGAAGAUCAACCAGCAUUAGAGUUUUUCUAUCUCCUUUUAAUUCUUGGAAUUAUACAUGAUGAAUAAUCUAUUAGUUUUCUCUUAUUUAAUUAUAAGUAGCUAAACACUUAUCUAGGGUUGAUGGAAUCAAUUGUUCGUUGAAGUUUUGACAAAAGUUGUUAUAAUAUGAUAUGAUUGUUCAAUUACAUUUUGUAUGGUGAUUAAUUGGAUGGGCCCUUGAUUAAUCGUGUUUAAUUACCUUAUAUUGCUUGAGGAAGAGUAUUAGGUUAGACAGUUGUUGAUCAACACCACAUUUAGGUAAUUGAAGAGAUUCAUUAUUUGAAUUUAAAAGUGGGUUUAGAGAUAAUGAAACUUUGGCGGGAUAAUAUAGAGUUCCACACAUAUUGUUGGCUAGAGCGGUUCGAGAUAGUGCUCUAGUAAAUUAUUGUAGUUGAUCGAGAGAUAAUUAUGAUAACUACUAACUCUUAAUCCUCAUAGAGUAUUGCAACGGGAUUAUAGCGGAAGAGUCAAGACCUAAACUGGCAAUUGGGGAAAUCACUUCCCUAGAACUUUUUACCAUUGAAUUAUCCUUGUUUAAUCAUACAGUUGUUUUUAAUAGUAGUUGAAGUAGUUAAACAAAAACCCAAUCUUAUUUGAUAAAAAAUCAUGCAUCUAGAGAUUGAUUGAAUUGAUUACAUCAGCGCCGAAGAGUGCAACAAAUAUGUUAGUUCCAUGAGAAUAUGAUUCCGGACUUGAAACCGGAUUAUAGUUGCAGCGAUCACUUUACCCGUUAAAAGACAUAGUUAGGUGUUAUCAUGUGUCAACAAUGCAAGUCAUUUGGGCACACCGUUCAACAGUACAAGAGAGUGCAAAAAAAGCCACAAGUAGAACAAGUAAGGACUGAACGGUGUUAGAUCCAGUUUUAAUGAUGCAAAUAAUAUACAUGUGCAAGAAAUCAAUUAUAAGAAGUCAAGAAGAUACUACAAAACUGUUUGAGUCAAUCCUGAUGAACAAGGGAAGAAAUCAAUCAGAGACAACUAAGGAAAGGACUCGCAAAUCUGGAAGGAAUCAAAUUAGCCAAUCCAUUAGCAAAGAGUAACGACCAGCUGCAAUGGAGAGAAUCAAGCAAGCCUAUGUUAAGGAACAAAUCAAAGGCAACAUCCCGGAAGAUCGAAAGUUAUGAGAAGAUUGGUACAUGACUAAUUUUGGAAUAACAAACAAUCAAGGAGCAAGUCUUCGUUCGUACUUCUGCUGAUGGAAGGAAAUCAAUGAGAAGCAACGACUAGCUAUCUUAUUCUUGGAAAGAAUUAAUUUUUUUUUCAAGGAUCAAAUCCUUUGGGUUGUCAAGCCUUGACUAUUCAUCAAAGUAUUUAUACCCCGCCUUAUACCCUAGUCUCAUAUAAUUUGAUGAAUUCAAAAAUCACUCUCUUUAUUCUACUGCAAACAAACAUUGUAGUUCACUAAGAUCUACUGUGUAACAAGUCAGGGAAGAAAAGAGAGCAUAACACUGGUGAGGCAUUGUAUCAAAAAGAAACAAAUGCUAGAGAAACUGUGUGCAAAUUCACUAUAACAGUACACGGAGAAACACAUCUACUAAAAGAGAUCUCCUUUGCAACCCUAGGGUAGUAGACUAGGAUUCACAUUAAAUCCGAACUACUAUAAAAUCUCGGUACCUUUAAUUUCUGCAAUUUUAUUUCUGUCACUAUAACUGUUGAACUAUUAUAUCUAGUUGACUACUAAAUAAAUUAUUCAAAUAAUAAGCAAUUAAGUUCAAAUAUUUGCAAUUCACCCCUCAUAUUGUAAUUUCAAUUGCUAUCAGAGCAAGGCUCGCAUUUUACUUUUGCUUAAUAACUUGUGAGAAAAGAUCAUGGAAAAUUAUGUUAUCAUAAGAGCUCUCUUUCAGGAAGGAAUUUCACACGUUAGACCACCGUACUUCAAUGGACAACAUUUCUCUCACUGGAAAGUAUGAACGAAAAUCUCUACCGAAGCUUACAACAUGAAAGUUUGGAGAAUCAUCAAAAAGGGAAACUAUCCUUUACCUGCUAGCACUCUACCACUUGCUGAUCCUGAAGAUAUAGAUUCAUACUCAAACGAGCAAGUGGAAGUGGUAAAAGUGAACAGCAAAGCAAGAAACCUGCUUCAUCACGCUAUAAGUGGUGAAGAAUAUGAGAAAAUAUCAAGUUAUGACACAGCCAAAGAGAUGUGGGACACACUUGAGGUCACCUAUGAGGGAACCAGCAAGGUAAAGGAAACACAUAUCGACAUGCUGGUUCAUGAUUACAAACUUUUCUCAAUGAAAGAAGGAGAGUCCAUUGAAGAGAUGUUUGCCAGGUUUAGCAAAAUAAUUAGCAACCUAGAGGCGUUUGGCAAGCCCUACACCACCAACCAUUUGGCAGACCAAAGUAGUCAUACUGGAAUAUCAAGAUCUACAACAAUUAUCCUAUGAUGAACUACGAGGAGAACUCACUGCCUUUGAAAGGAUGCAUCUCAAGAAGACAGAUAGAGGAAAAAAAGAAAAUAGUUUCAUUCAAAACCUCUACUGAAAUAGCUGAUAACGAAAUUGACAAUGAUCCUGAAGCUCUGCAAGAAGUGAUUGCUAUGAUGUCUAGAAACAUAGAUUGAUAAGUGAGAAAAUACAGGAACACAAAAAAAGGAAGAAUUCUACCAAGACGAUCCGGGUAAUACAAUGAACAUGAUAAGAAUGAUGGAAAAUGCUAAGAAUGUGGAAGAUUUGGGCAUAUUCAAGCUAACUCUAUAGGAUUCAACAAGAACAAAUCUUUCGGAAGCUGGAGCGAUGAGGAUAACUCGAACCAUGAAGAGAUAGCAAAUCUCUGUUUUAUGAUAAUUAUGGAAAAUGAAAAGAACAAAUCUUCAGGAUGCUAGACAGACAAAGACGUUUCAGAUGAGGAAAAUGAAAACUAUCUCAUGGCACGGGGUGAAGCUAGUGAGAUAAGAUCUUAUGCCUGUGAAAGAUGUAAUGAAUUGUAGGACAUCCUUGAUUCAACUUUGAAAGAGACUCAAAAACUGAAGAAUGAGCUUAAGAUACUCACCAAGGAAGAUAAAGACUGUAAAAUCAAACUUCAAGUAUGCGAAAUCAAAAAGGAAGUACUCUAGGAAGAGUUUGAGGAAUUGCAAAUGUAACUCAAUAGCAUGCGCAAAUCCAUCAGCCACAGUUCUGUUAGGUCAAACCAGACGACUUACAAGUCAACUGGAAAGGAACUAAUCAGAAUCAAGUCGACCAGUAGGUCAAACUAGAUAACUUACAAGUCAACGGGGAAAAGACUAGCUAGAACCAAGUCGACUAAAAGCGGGUCAGAAGUUAAGUGUCAUUACUGUAGUAAAAAUAGGCAUAUUCCUUUUGUCGUUUACGUAAAUCAAAUGUGUCAGUAUGGGUUUGGAAACCAAAGCAUUCUGAACCUAGUAACACAAACCCCCUAGACCCAGACAAGCUUGGGUACCUAAAAGAAAGUAAUCAUCUUGUCAUGCAGGAAUACCACAGAAUAAGCCGUAAAGGAAAAUGGUAUCUAGAUAGUGUGUUUUCCUAUCAUAUGAAAGAUCACAAAAACAUGUUCAAAUAAGUUACAAAAAUUGAUGGAGCAAGUGUUAAAUUUGAGGAUGAUUCAAGGGGCAAAAUAGUUAGUACUAGGACAAUUUUCUUCAAUAACAAUUGUGACAUCACUGAAGUUUAUCUCGUCGAUGGCCUCAACUACAAUCUUUUGAGCAUAAGUCAACUUACGACUCGGGAUAUGAGGUCAAAUUUAAGAAAACAGGAUGUGUUGUUGAAGAUGAAUCAGGUAAGAUAAUUCUUCCUUGAAAAAGGUAUGGAAAUUUUUAUAUACUUGAUGGUUUUGAAAAGUUAGAUGGUAUAUUUGCUAAUCCUCUAAGUCUAAUGAUCCAUGGUUAUGGCAUUAGAAACUUGGUCAUGCUAGCAUGCAUUUGAUAGAAAAAUAGUCCAAACUUGAAUUAGUUAUUGGUCAGCCUAUUCUAGAACUCAUAUUUGUGAUGCAUGUCAAAUGGGUAAGCCUUUAAAAAUAAAGAUAUGGUUUCUAUUUCAAAAUCUUUGCAAUUACUUCAUAUGGAUUUAUUUGGGCCUACUAGAACUGCUAGCAUAGGAGGAAAAAGGCAUACCUUUGUUAUUGUUGAUGAUUAUUUCCGUUUGGGUAAUCUUCUUAACUCAUAAGGAUGGAACAUUAAAUUUUUUUAAAGUUUUCUGCAAAAGGGUUGAAAGAGAAAAGGGACAUCUGAUUCCAAUAAUUUAGAGUGACCAUGGAGGAGAAUUUAAAAGCAGAGCAUUUGAAGACUUUUGUAAUGAUAAAGGAUAUACCCAUAAUUUCUCUGCACCACCCUCACCACAACAAAAUAGGGUUGUUGAAAGGAAGAUCAGAACCCUCCAAGAUAUGGCAAGAACCAUGUUACAAUAACACUCACUGCCGAACCACUUCUGGGCAAAGGGUGUAAGUACAACAUGUCACAUCCUCAAUUGUUGCCUCAUAAGGCCAAUAAUGAAGAAGACUUCAUAUGAACUAUGAAAAGGUAAAUGACCAAUUAUUAGUUACUUCCAUCCCUUCUAAAGCAAAUGUUUUAUUCACAGUAACGACAAGGAUAAUCUUGGAAAGCUUGAUACAAGAAGUGACAACGGUAUUUUUCUAGGUUACUCAUUAAAUAGUAGGUCCUUUAAAGUCUAUAAUAAACAUACAUUACAUGUGGAAGAAUAUGUACAUGUUAUAUUCAAUGAAAAUAAUCCCUUGGCUGAGAAAGGAAUUAUUCCAGGUAACGAAGAGAAAGCUCAAGAAACUCGGGAGAAAGGAAAGUCACAAGAUUCGACUAAUACACCUACUGCGACUGAGUCAACUGGUGAAGAUAGCAGCAAUGUACCAGACCUACCAAUUGAUUCGACUACAAAUGUAGUUCGUCCAAAUGAAUGGAGAAGCGAUCCUGAAUAUCCACAGGAAUUCUUUAUAGGGGAUCCUAAAAAAGGAAUGAAAACCAGCGCAAAGCAAACAUCACAUUGAUUUCUCAGAUUAAGCCAAAAAAGAUAGAGGAAGCACUGAAAGAUUCAAGAUGGGUGCAAGCUAUGCAAGAAGAAUCAUAUUAGUUCAGUAAGAAUCAAGUGGGGAAAUUAAUACCCAAACAUGAUAAUGUGUCUGUAAUCUGAACAAAGUGGGUGUUUAGAAAUAAACUGAAUGAGGAUGGAAGGUCAUAAGAAAUAAAGCCAGACUAGUUGCUCAAGGGUAGUCACAACAGGAAGGAGUCAACUAUGAUGAAACUUUCGCCCUAGUAGGGUGGUUGGAGUCCAUACGAAUUCUUCUGGCAUACACAUUUUUUAAAAGAUUCAGGUUGUUUCAAAUGGAUGUUGAGUGUGUUUUUGAAGGGAUCUAUCAAAGAAUAAGUAUUUUUGAAACAACCUCUAGGUUUUGAAGAUUCAAAAUUCCCAUACCACGUAUACAAGCUCACUAAAGCACUGCAUGGGUUAAAACAAGCUCCAUGUGCCUGAUAUGAUAGACAACAUACCUUUCUUGUUGAUCAUGGAUUAACAAGAGGUAAAAUAGAUACUACCCUAUUAAUUAAACUAUCAUCAGAAGGUAACCUCAUUAUUUAAAUUUAUGUUGAUGAUAUCAUAUUUGGUAGUGCUAACCCUCUUAUGUGCGAGGAUUUUUCAAAUCAUACGCAAAGUGAAUUUGAAAUGAGUAUGAUGGGUGAGCUCUCAUUCUUUCCUGGGCUACAAAUUCAAAAAUUUGAAGAAUGAACCUUCAUAUGUCAAACCAAAUACACAAAAUAGAUGAUUCAAAAAUUUGGCAUGAGCAAUGCAAAAUCAAUCGGCACAAUGAGCCCCUAUACAAGUCUAGACAAAGAUGAACAUGGUACUCCUGUUGAUGAAACUAAAUAUCGUGGAAUAAUUGUAUCACUGAUGUAUUUGAUAACAAGUCAACCAGAAAUUAUGUUCAGUGUAUAUAAAUGUGCCAGGUUUUAGUCAGCUCCUAAGGAGUCACAUUUAACUGCUGCAAAACGAAUCACUCGAUAUCUCAUUGGAACUGUAUCUCAUGGAUCAUGGUAUCCUCACUCUAACUCUUUUAAAUUAGAAGGACUUUCAGAUGCUGACCUUGCAAGUGAUAAAGAUGAUAGAAAGAGAACAAGUGGUACAUGUCAAUUACUAGGAAAUGCAUUAAUAUCUUGGAACAAUAAAAAUCAAGCAUCAGUCGUAUUGUCCACUACUAAAGCUGAAUACAUUUCUAUUGGACAAUGCUGCGCACAACUACUGUGGAUGUCUCAUCAAUUGGGUGACUAUGAACUUUCAUUUAAGCUGAUACAAAUUCUUGUGACAAUUCUAGUGCUAUUUGUCUUUCAAAAAAUCUUGUGCAUCAUUCUAGAGUAAAGAAUAUAUAUAUUAAGCAUCAUUUUAUUAGAUCAUGUUCUUAAGGGAGACAUAGAAAUAUCUUUUGUUGCAACUUCUGAUCAACUAGCUGAUAUUUUUACUAAGCCAUUAUUAGAAGAGAGAUUUUGCGCUUUAUGAAAUUUACUUGGUAUUAUUUUCACUUCUAAUAACUCUUAGGGCCUAUGUACUCAGUCCAUUUUAUUUGCUAUAAUUUUCCUUUACCCACGCUUUGAUUACGCCUCCGUCUUUUCCCUCUCUUUUCUCUUCUUUCACAUUAGUUCACAGUUCAAAGUUGGAAAGAAAAUAAUCAUGUCUCUUCAACUGAAAACUUUUCCUUUCCUGUACUCAAACGUCAAAACCCCCUUUUUAAGAAAGAAAACCCAUUUCAAUCACUUUCAUCUCCAUCUUCUCUCCAAAAGUUCCGAUCAAGCUCAUUCUCUACAACGGUGAAACAAUCCAAAACUCCUUGUGCUUCCACCAGAAAGAGCACAUGUUCCAAAGAAAAACCCCUUUCUGCGCCCCUAGAACAAGUAGACCUAGGGUCGGAUCACUUUGAAGGUUUUUGCUUCAUCUUAGGGAGAUUUCUAUGAACACUCACAACUUCUAGGAGAAAAGGCUUUAGGCAAUCGACCAAUGGAAGAGCCUCCUAUUUUGUCCACCCCAAAUAAAUCAAAGGUUGAUUUCUCUACCUCUCUUGAAUCUGACCUAAAUUUCUGGGAUUCCCCAAAUAAGGAUCUUUUUGUUGCUCUAAAAGACAAGCCCAUUUCUCAUGGAAGGAUCACCGACCUUGAUGACAUGUAAGCCCUAAAUUGCAAGGUUAAAGACCUUUUUGUUCAUCAAGGAUGGGUUAGGUUCUUCUCUAUUCCUCCGCCUAAGAUAUAUGGACCUCUGAUAAAAAUGUUCUAUGCAAAUCUUCGUUCUAUUAAACCUGAUAGGUUGGAAUCUUUAGUGUUAGGUAAGCGCAUUUUCUUGAUUGUGCCCUGUUUGACUCAUUUUUUUAGUGUGUUUGUUCUAAUUUCCCUACUCCGUUUAAAAACACCUGGCCUGAUGACUUUGAAAUUCCUUUGACCAAGCCAAACAGUGUAUUGCUGAGUAUCCCUUUGAACACCUUCUAAACCAAUUAGGCCCCAGUGAUGUCAGUUUCGAAACUUGGGUUCUAGCCAACAUUGUGGCAAUUACUUUGCUUUCCCGUACUGGUUCCUUUUCAACCUUCUCUCAAAGAGACACAUUCUUUGUGUAUUGCCUCGUAACCAAACUCAAAAUCAAGCUUUCCUCCUGGUUAUCAAUUUCAUGAUUGAGAGUGCUGAAGAUCCCCCCACUCUACCCUAUGGCAUGGCAAUCACUCACAUUCUGGAAGCUCUUCAAAUUUUCCUGUCAAAUUAUCCCUUUCACCACUGUCUCUAAGUCCUACAAUUCUAGAGCCUUUGAUAGUAAGUGUUAUGUGAAUGUCAAGGGCUCCUAGGUUAAGAAGCCCGAAAGUGAAGCAAAAUAUCCCCCCAUAGAACCUAAACCUUCACCUUCAGUUCCUCAUCAUAAUCUUGAUAGUCCUGAGCUUGACAAAAGGCUUCGUGCUAUUGAAUCUCAACUCUCUAAAAUUAAGAACCUUCUCAUAGCCACUCAGUCUACUGUUGGUGACAUUCAUGCUAUUUCUAAGGAAAUAUGGUCUGACGUGUCCAAGAUUAGAGUUUCCAUUCUCAGAGUUAGGGAGAAUCUUGUCAAAGCUUUCAUGGAGAUUCAUGACAGGAUGGAUGGAGUGAGCAUCUCAGCGAUGCGAGCUUCGAACAGUUCAAGGACGCUAUCUGCAACACCCUUAUUUUUUGCGCCGCUAGUGUGGUUGUUUUAGGAAAUUUUUUUGUUCUCUUGAUUUUUGUUGUGAUGCUUUUAUGGUCUGUCUUCCUAGUCGUUGGAUAACUUUACCUCAUACGCUUUAAUUCUCUUCAUUAUGUUUAGUUCUCGUCUUAUUCCCUCUUUGCUGAUGACAAAAAAGGGGGAGAAAGAAUAUGUAUAUUUGUAAAGGUACAGUCUAUAUUUGUAUAGGUACAGUCUUGAGGUAGAAGUUGACUUGGUCAUAGACUAGUUGACUACAUACAUUGAGGGGGGUGUCAUGGACUAGUCAACUGCAUACAUUGAGGGAGAGUAAAACACAAAGAAGUCAACUGGCGUUUACGUUUACAUAUUAUUGUGCCAUCAUCAAAAAGGGGAAGAUUGUUAGAUCCAGUUUUAGUGAUGCAAAUAAUAUACAUAUGCAUGAAAAAAAUUACAAGAAGUCAAGAAGAUAUUACGAAACUGCUGGAGUCAAUCUUGAUGGAUAAGGGAAGAAAUUAAUCAGAUACCACUAAGGAAAGGAUUCACAAAUCUGGAAGGAAUCCAAUUAGCCAAUCAAUCAGCAAAGAGUAACGACUAGCUGCGAUGGAGAGAAUCAACCAAGACUAGUGUUAAACCAUAAAUCAAGGGUAGCAUCCUCGAAUAUCGAUAGUUAUGAGAAUAUUGAUACGUGACUAAUUUUGGAAGAACCAACAACCAAGGAGAAAGUCUUCAUUCAUACUUCUGUUGAAGGAAGGAAAUCAAUGAGAAGCAAUGGCUAGCUAUCUUAUUCUUGGAAAGAAUCAAUUUCUUUUCAAGGAUCAAAUCUCUUGGGUUGUCAAGCCUCGACUAUUCGUCAAAGUAUUUAUACCCCGCCUUAAACCAUAGUCUCAUAUACUUUGAUCGAACCAAAAAUCACUCUCCUUAUUCUACUGCAAACAAAUAUUGUAGCUCAAUGAGAUCUUUUAUGUAACAAGUAUGGGAAGAAAAGAGAGCAUAAUACAUGUGAGGCAUUAUAUAAAAAAGAAACGAGUGCUAGAGAAAUUGUGUGCAGAUGCACUACAGCUGUACUCGGAGAAACAUGUUUUACUAAAAUAGAACUCCUUUGUAACUCGAGGGGACUGGACUAGGAUUUACAUUGAAUCUGAACCAGUAUAAAGUUUUGGUGUCUUUAGUUCCAACAUUUACUUUUUGCAAUUUACUUUUUGUCACUAUAACUGUUAAAAUACUAUAUCUAGUCGACUACUAAAUAAAUUAGUCAACUAAUAAGCGAUUAAGGCUAAAUAUUUACAAUUCACCAACCCACAUCCCCUGUACUUUCAAACGGAAGCUAGUGGAAAUGAAUGAGCAGAAAGAAAAGUCAGUCAUAGCAGGGGAAAAAAUAGAACAACAAACAAAGAGUGUGCAAGGGAAAGCUCUACAGAAGCAGAUUAACAUGGUAGUGAGUAAUUCCUUCUCAACAUUGGAGGAUCAUGUAGAGCAGAAGACUGCAUGGAAGAAUUCUAGUAAUCAAAUGUUAAUAUGAAAGAAGAUCAAAAAUAAAGGAAUAACACAAGGAGAAGGUACUCAACAAGGAAAGGACAACUCAAUAACCAGCUCUCAAAGGGCAGUGCAAGGGAAAAUAGAGAUAGGUACAGGAACGGGGAGGGGAGGUACAAACUCCCUCCCAAAUGGAUAAAUUGGGAUUUUUGAACGUGAGGGGUCUAAACAGGCAGGAUAAACAGAAAGAGAUGAAUCUGUUCUUGAAUAAUUCUAAAUUAGGCAUGUUUGGACUCCUGGAAAAUAUUAAGAGGCAAACAUCUUUAGAUUCUCUUAAUCUUUGUAAUGGGUAGUAUUUUAGUCACAAUUUAGCUUAUCAUUCAGGUGGGAGAAUCUGAUUGCUUUGGAAACCAAAUAUCAUUAAUGUAAAUAUCAGUGAUGUAUCAACUCAAAUGAUGCAUUAUUAGGUAGAACAUUGAGGGACUCAUCACAAGUGUUAGAUAACAUUUGUACAUGGAUUUAAUGACCAUGCUUUAAGAGGAUAAUUAUGGCAAGAACUGGAGCAAAUUUGUGGUGUCACUAAUCAACGAUGGGCAGUUAUGGGUGACUUCAACUGUGUAUUGAAUAGAGAUGGAAGGGUGGGGAGUCGAAUCAUAGUAUCAGAAAUUGAAGACUUUAAAGAGUGUGUAAGAAGAUGUUCACUAUAAGAGCUUAAAUCAUCUGGAUCCUUUUUACUUGGAAUAACAAUCAUGGAGACACUAGUAGAGUCCAUAGUAGAAUUUAUAGAGUGCUAGUUAAUGGAGAUUAGGUGAUGAAAUUGCGAGGACAAAAAGUUCACCUUGGAAAUAAAGGUCUUAUGGACCAUUGUCUAGCUCUGAUCAAUUGGGAUAAGGGGCCUCAAAAUAGCUAGCAUAGAUUCACAUAUUUCAACAUAUGGAGUCAAGCUACUAAUUUCUAUCAACAAGUGGGAAGUAACUAAAAAAUGGGAUUACAGGUACAAAGCAGUACAUAUUAGUAAGGAAGCUAAAUAGACUCAAAGCUACUCUGCAAGGAAUAAAUAGAGCUCAAUUUGGUGAUAUAGAAGGUAAAGCUGUGCAAAAAAAAAUAGAAAUGGAAGAGUGUUAAAGUAACUAUAGAAAGACCCUUUAAACAUAAAGUUAAUUGAAGAAGAGGCAAAAAUAGCUAAACACUUCUCACACUGGAGCCUGACAAGGAACCAAUACCUUAAGCAAAAAUGUAAAGUUCAUUGGUCGAAUGCAGCGGAUAUGAAUACUAAAUUCUUUCAUAGUAUGUUGAAAAUUAGAAGAAAUGCUAACAGAAUGUUCACUAUAAAAGACAUUAUAUUACAACAACUUUUGUGAAAUAUUACUCUAUAUUGAUUGGUACUAAAACUAAGAAUAGAAGAAGGGUAUGUACCUCCACUAUUAAAUCAUGCACUGUAGUUUUACAGGAACAAAGAGGCAUGUUGAUUGACUAGUUUACAAAGCAGAAAUUAAACAGUUUUUUGUGGGAAAUAACAGGAGAUAAAGCACCGGGGCCAGAUGGUUAUGGAAGUCAAAUUUUUAAGGACUAUUGGGAACUAAGGAGGAUCUUGAAGCAAGAGUGAUGGAGUUCUUCAAGUCAGGAAAAUUAUUAAGGGCAUGGAAUAGUACAAUGUUUACUUUAGUCCAAAAUCUGAUCAUGCAGACACAGUAACAAACUAUAGACAUAUAGCUUGUUGCAAUACUAUCUAUAAGGUGACAUUCAAGAUGUUAACAAAUAGAUUGAAUAAAUUCCUAUCAGAUAUCAUAUCCCCAAAUCAAAGUGCUUUUAUGGUAGGUAGAACUAUUGUUCAUAAUAUCUUAAUCUAUCAGGACCAGGUAAGACUGUAUAACAGGAAACAAAAUACCAGUAGCUGCCUGAUUAAAAUAGACUUGAGGAAAGCCUAUGACACAGUCUAAUGGUAGUUUGUAGCUGAGAUGAUGCAUGCACUGGAAUUUCCUUAAAAAUUCAUCAAAUGAACUAUGACAUGCAUAACCAUAGUGCAGUAUGCAAUUCCAACUAAUGAGAGUCUAUACGGGAACGUAAAAAAGGAAAGAGGUUUAGUCAAUGGAUCCAAUAUCCCUACUGAUCUUUGUCAUAUUCAUGAAAUAUUCCACGAGGAUAAUGAAUGUAGUUGUAGAGCGGGUGGGAUUUGCGUAUCAUACUAAGUGUAAAAGCUUGAAAAUGAAUUAUAUAUGCUUUGUAGAUGAUGUUCUAUUAUUCAAUAAAGAGACUUUUCAAUCAGUUCUGUUGUUAUUGAGGGGCUUGAAAACAUUCUUAGAAAGCUCAAGCCUAACUACAAAUGCAAGCAAGUCAAAAAUAUUCAGUGUCAGUAUGCCAAUCUAGAGCCAUAAGGACUUGAUGGAAAUGACAGAACACCAGAAAGGAAGUCUACCAUUCAGGUAUCUUGGUGUGCCUGUAUCAGCUAAUAGGAUAUCUAAAAUUGACUGUGAAAUACCCAUAGACAAGAUAGCAGCUCGAAUCAAAAAUUGAGGUACAAGACAUCUAUCUUAUGCAAGAAUAGUGCAGCAAGUGAAUUCAUUAUUACUUCACAUUCAUAUUUACUGGUCAACUAUAGUUUUUCAUCCAAAGAAAGUUCUGAAAGGGAUAACUGCUAUGUGUAAAAAUUUCAUAUGGGAUGAGAAAUAUGUCACACAUAAGCUACCGUUAGUGUCAUGAGACUUAGUGUGUAGGAUGAAGCAUGAAGGAGUCUUGGUGGGUAACAAACAUAAUAAAAUAGAAUGAAGCUGCUAUUGCAAAUUAUGUAUGGAAUGUAGCUCAAAAAGCUAACAAUCUAUGGGUGAAAUGGAUUAACAAGGUCUAUUUAAAGGAGAAGGAUUGGUGGCAGUGCAAAAGCCCCAAUGGUUCUUGCUGGUACUGGAAGACAAUAUGCAGGAUAAAAAGAAAUACUUGCCCCUGGAUAUAAUAAAUAUUUAAGGAGCAAUGCCAAUGGACAGUACAUAAUUAAGGAGGUAUAUACAUGGAGAAUUAGAGAUAAAGAAAACUAGGCAUGAAGAAGAUGGGUAUGGAACAACAUGAACCUACUCAAACAUGCUUUUAUUUUCUAGUUCACUAUACAUCAAAGGCUACAAAAAUCAGAUUGUAUCAUAUGUGCAUUAGUCAAGAAAAUAGGUGUCCAAUAUGUGAAACAGAAGAGAAGACUAUCCAACAUUUGUUCUAUAUGUAUGUAUUCUCACAGUAGUGCUUAAGGGAGGUGUUAAACUGGAUGAGCAUAUGUGACAAAGAUAAUAGUGAUAUGGAAAAGAGUGACCAGACUACUCAAAAGAAAGAGAUGCAGGGAAGUUGCUACUGCUAUAUUAGAUGCCUUGGUGUACUGGAUAUGGAAGACUAGGAACAUUGAUGUAUGAGACUUCAAACUAUCCACAACUAAAUAUAUACUAAGUCUAAUUAAACAAGAAUGCUGACUGAGAAAGCUCACCUAUUUGAAGAGCGAGACAAAUAUUCAAGAAAGAGAAUGGAUUGAGAAGAUAAUGCAGUAAUAGAAUAUUAAAUCGAUAGAAAAACUAAUGUUUUGAUGAAUAAUAGCUAAUGUAUAUAUAUACAAAAAGAAAUAUGUGAAAAGAGGAAAGUAUUGAGGAAAAAGCAUGUAAUAGUUUCAAGGUGAUGAAAUAAAUUUUUUCUUCACCAAAAAAAAAAAAAAAUUAAGCCUAGAGAACAAGAUUAAGGAAUUACGUAUUGCUUUUUGUUUACUCUAAAAACAGAUAACAAUUAAAUUUGUAUGUGAUUUGCGUAUUAAUUCGAUACCAAAUAGUAAAUUACAUUAAAUUAAAUAGAUAAAGGUAUAGUAAAUUAUCAAACCACUUGAGAAUGAUGUUUCUGGUCAUAAUGAAAUGUCCACUUUCUUUCUGGACUCACAAUGGCCAACACUGAUGAAUCAAAAUAAGAAUUACAGUAUAUUUCCUUAGUAUGCGUGUGUUACAAUGUGUUCCAUGAAUAAGCAUUCUCCCCUUUAUAUAGUAGGAAAGUUUCACCAUAAGCACAAUUCUAUAAAAGGUAAAAAAAUCUUCUGUUUAACUAAUUGCCGGUUCUUCAUCGAUACGUGCCGAGAUGCACGCCGUGAUAUCCAACCGUCACGGAUAUCACGGCCUUCCACUGGUCGUGCUUGGUUGACCGACAACGUUUUCCGAAUUAUUUUGAGAUUUGGACCGAUCCCGGAUCAUGACUCCGGUAUUCUUGAGGGUGGGCAUCAUGCCACCGGACUGUAACUCGAUGAGACCCUUGCCUCCUUUUCGGUUCCUUGUCAUUAUGUCUCUAGCUUGAUUUAUCUUAUUGGAAGUCAGACUGUACCAUAAGCUCGGUUUUACCUGUAUACAUUUUUAGUGAAUGUCUAACCCUUUCUGUAAAAUGUUGCACGGUGUCCACAAUGUUAGGGCUAAGUAAGUUGAAAUAGUUUUAUGAGGGAGUCUACUUGCCAUUUCUUUGACUAAGAAUUUAACAUCGUCAUAGUAUAGUGAACUUGUGUGACCGAUCACUUUCAAUAAUAUAAUGGAUGAUGUGAAUCAGAAACGGAUUCAAUUCGAUCACAGCCUAAUAGGUAAAAGUCUCAGGUAAUUCAAAGAGUAUUCUUAAUGACUGUUUGAUUUUUCUUCCAGCUUUUGAAAUCCUUAGGGCGUACACGUCUUAAUCUUGUGAAGACAGAGAUUAUUUUCAAUAAAAGCUUAGAAAAAACAUAGUCACAACAUAAAUGAAAAGAAAUACUUUUCCCGAUUCACAUAGGUAAUCAAUUUAUCUUUUUAUUUUGGUCAAAAAUAAAUAUUUAUUUAUAUAAUUAAAAAAGUAUUCAAUUUGUUUUUACAAAAUUACUUUAUUUAUAUAUCCCUUAAAAAAAUUUACUCUUCAAAUUAAAUAUUUAAUUAAGGAUAGUUUAGUCAUACUAGGUAUUUCUCUAUAUAAUUUAAUAUUUUUUUAGUAGACGUGUCAAAACUAAAUUAGUCACUUAUUAUGGAUCGGAUGAAGUACAAUAGCAACGGAAAAGUCAUGGACAGAUUUCUUUCUUCAAUUUCUUAUGAUAAAAUUUAGAAUUUUUUACAUUCCUAUACCAUAUAGGAAACCUUAUUAUCCUCAAUGUUUAAGGUUUGAUAUAAUUACAUUUUGUAUACCAAAUUACAAAUUCUAUACCAUAGUAUAUUUUAAGAGUACAAUUAAUGCAGCGUAUAUCCCUCCUUAAUUCAAGGUACCGUAUAUCCCACCCCUCCCAUGUUUCUCUCUCCCUCACCCUCACCCACGUUUAUGUACUGUUGUCACACAUAGAAACCGAUGAUUAUAGAAACAUAGAUUUAUAACAUUAGGUUUAUACAGUCAUUAGUUCAGCUCCAAGUCCAACACUUUGUUUUUCACAGGUCGUUAAAGUCAUCUUCGCAAAGACCAGUCUGGUUACCAUCCUGGGCUAGAAAUCUUUAGAUCUAAUAAUCUAAUACUAUCACAAACAUAAAAAUUCAGAAGUAACAAAAUAAUCUCCAUUAGACAACAGAUUCUACAUGUAUAAGUGGGAAAGAGGGAAGGAAAAUGCAUUUAUGGAAUAAUGGUAAAUAAUAGAGACAGUCUAAAAAACCUCAAAGAACCAUUUACGAAUUUGGAUUAUACUUGAUAUAUAUAUUAGGAUAUUAAAAUAUGAGAAAAGAUUCAAUCAAAUAUGAAGUCUACCAAGUUUGAUUACUCCUCAACAGCUAAUAAUUCUAUUCAAUUGUAGCUUAAUUGGUAUUUUCGACUUAAUUGUGUUUGCAGAAGAUUUUGUAGAAGUUUUAGUCGUUUUGGAUUUGUGAAUACAGAAAACAAUGCAUCUACAAUAAGAAUACAACUAAUCUACAAUUCAUCCAUAAAAUAUCUACAAAUUGGGUAUAUUAAAUUUUAAUAUCCCAAUUCCCAUACCAUUGUAGUUUAAUUCGGAUUUUCGACAUAAUUGCAAUUUUUGUACAAGAUUUGAAGAAUUUUUAGUCGUUUUUGAUUUGUGAAAACAGAAAAUAAAGCAUAUCUAUAACAAAAUAUCUACAGCUGGUUACAUUAAAUUUUUAUAUCUCAAUUCCAUUCAAUUGUAGCAUAAUUGAGAUUUUUGACAUAAUUGUAUUUUUUCAGAAGAUUUGUAGAUGGUUUAGCCGUUUUUUAUUUGUGAAAACAGAAAUAAAGCAUCUACAAUCAGAAUAUAAAUAAUUUAUAAUUUAUCUACAAUUUCUACAAUUAUGUCUUCUUCUUCUUCUUCUUCUUCUUCUUCUUCUUCUUCUUCUUCUUCUUCUUCUUCUUCGACGAGUUUCAAUAAGAAUUUCAGUCAAAACCAAGUUUAAUCUUCACCAAAACUCCUAAAAUUGAGAUAUAAACUCCAAAUCAUAUUUCCAAUUAUUUUCAACACCCCCCAAUCCAACCAAAUAAUGAUUUUUGAAAAUUCAUAUUUGAAUGCAAAGCUUUCAAACUUUUUAAUGGCUGUCAACGGCAGAAUUGUCGCUCUCUUUUCAUUUGCUUUGUAUUACUGAAAUCUGCAAUUGCGAAAUAGAGAGAGAUGUAGAGAGAAUGUCGACGAACUGAGCUUUUGCAGAACUAAUGUCUACAAUUUGAUUCGAAUUUGUUGACGAUUUUAUCUUUUUUUGAUUUGUGGCUUAAGGAAAAAUAUCGAAGAACAAAAUUUUUGUAGAAAAGAGUCUAUAUAACUUGAUUUUAAAUUGAAGAUACAGGGUUUGCGUUUCAAAUUUAAUCUGAACGUCGCUAAAUGAAUUAGAAUAUUCUGUUCCUGAUUUAUAGUGCGACUAAUUAGGAAGAUCCAACUAUUAAUAAUUAGUAUUUAAUUUAUGGUGUAAUAAUUUUAGAAAUACAAUACAUAUAAAAAAUAAGUUAUAAAUUAUACACAUAUUUAAUAAUAAAAUUUUAUAUAUAAUAUAAAAAGAAAAAAAUCUCUAAAAUUAAAGCUUUAAAUAGAGAGAGAGGAAUAUUGGGGCAUCAAGUCUUUCCCCCUCGUCGUUUCAAUCGAAAUCUUUUUACCUGGUAGGAUCUUCACUUUUACGAAGCUUCCUCCAAUAUUUUAAAUUGUACUUCCUCCGUUCUCUUUUAAUUAUUUAUUUUUGAUUUUUCAUUUCUCUUUAAAAAGUAAAUCAAAUAUAUAUUUUGUAGUUUUAUCCAUAAUGAUAAUAUCAUUUAAAAAAAAAUAAUAAUAAUUUGGAGAAUAGUAAUUAAUAAUAACGGUAAAAAAUAAACAAAAAGAGUACAAGUAAAAAUAGUAUAGUGGGGUAGUAAAAAUGAAUGAAGGGAAUAUCAAAUUAUUUUCCCACCUUUCAUGUUUACUUAUCCACUAUACUAAAUUAAGAUAUCCACUUUUACUUGUCCAGUUUAGAAAACCAACGAUUAGGUUACCAUUUUAUACCUAUUUUCUCUUUGUUAUUAAAUACUCUCUUUCUUCUUUUUUAUUCGUUAAAUAUUCUAAAAAAAUAAAUUUUUAUUUUUACUUAUCACUUUUCGCAUAUUAAAAGCAAAAAAUUAUUUUUCAUGUUUUACCCUUAGCAUUAAUAACUCAUUCCAAAUCCAUUAAAACGGUACACCAAUAAAUAUGAGUAUCAUGGUCGAUUAUACAUUACAUUAAUUAUUUCUUAACAAGUGUGCAAGUUCAUAGCGGACAAGUAAAAGUGAACAGAGAGAGUAGUACUUAGUAUUUUCAUUUUAUAUUUCCACAUUUAAUAAAUAUGGGUGAUACAAUAAAUUUUUUAUGUUAUUUAUUGUUCUUUAAGAAACGCGUCAAGUCAAUAGUGGACAACUAAAUUUAAGCGAAGGAUUAAUUAUAUGCUGCAAAAGCCACAGCAACUUCAUUUAAUUUUGUGUCCGUGCUAUUUUUCAUACGCAAUUAAUUUUAGCCUAAAAACUGUAAAGUAUAACCUACAAUCCAUAGAGAUCAUAUUAGGAAUUAAGCAAAUAAUUAAACACAUAACAGUUGUAAAAAGAGGAAAACUUUCCUGUUUCAGAUUUUGCUGAUUUACAACAUAGUGGCAUUGUCAAAUUCUAGUAUUAACUCUUUAAGGUUUGAAAUGGAAGCUCAUCAAUUUAUUUAUUGUAUACGAUAACUAUGGUAUUUAACUACAUUAUCAAUUCAGAAGGUUAAGAAGUUGACAUUGUGGUCGGGACUUAUGUUAACAUUUGAGUCAAUGGUUAGACAUGUCAAUAUCAGUUUUUUUGAAGAAAGAAUUGGAAACAUUAUAGUUUCUCCGAUAAAGUCAAUCAAAUCAAGGACCUAAGUAUGUAUUCUUGAGAUCUUUCUUUUAGAUUGGAAGAAAGAAUUGGAAACAUUAUCGUUAUAUCAGAUAAAGUCAAAGCAAAUCUUUUAACCUUUCAUAGUUGGAUACAUUAGUUUAGAGAGAGAGCAUUGAGACAAAUAGCUAGGAUAUACUGGUACCAAAACCUGGUACAUAUGUAUUAAGUUGUAGAAAUUUGAUAAUAAUGAAAAAUUUUGUUGUGCAAAGUUCAACAUAUGCAGUUCUAGUUUUAAAUUAUCAAGAAAAUAGGAUAUUCAACCUGUUGGAAUUUUUUGUGGAGAUAGACAAGUCCAACUUAUUGAAUAUUGUGUAAAGAAAUUGGAGUGCUUUAUACUUUUGGGCUAGAAAAUUUAGGGGGAGAUGGAGAUUUCUUAGUUUGGUAGCUUGACUUACAGUUACUGAAUCUAAAAUCUAACUGUUCUUUUCCUUGAAAGAAAAUAUAAAAUCUAGUAGGAAAGGGCUACGCACUUGUAUAAAUUAAGACUCAAUUCUUUUUUACGAAUUAGCAAAGCCUGUCAAAGUUGAUGAAACUGUAAUAUAUAACAACAACACAACAAUCCAGUAUAAUUCCACUUAGUAGGCUAUUGGGAGGGUAGUGUCUACACAGACUUUACCACCCUUGGAUAGAGAGGCUGUUUCCAAAUAGACCCCCGACAUCUUUCCCUCCAAGAACUUCCCACCUUGCUCUUGGAGAGUCUCGAACUCACAACAUCUCGAUUGAAAGUAGGGGUUGCCUACCAUCAGAGCAAACCCUCUUGUCUUGAAACUGUAAUACACAUAUUGUGAAAUUAGUCUACUGGGAUAUUUUUGAAACUAUUGGUUCGCAUUCUAUUUCUUUUUUCUUCCUUCACUUCAAUUGAUCUAAAGUGAUUCUCAGAAUAUGGCUUAACGCUAAACCGACUCCACUGUUCUGGAUUUCCGUUUAUCAUAAUUAUUACGAAAAUACAGUUUAGAAAAUCUAACUUAGGGAAAAUGUAAUUUGGUACUAAAUGCAAAACAUGUUGUAGAUGGUUAAUGGUUUGACUUGUUUAAUUGAUUCUGACCACACACCACCGCUAGCGGCUAGUGCAAGUCAACCCCGUCCAAGCCCACAACCUUUGAAAAAACGAUGUUUACAUUAAUUUAAUAAAUUGGUCCAUAUAUUGUACAGUAAUAGAGCCAGGAUUUUAUUUGGAGCAUACGGUCUAAAACAAUUUUUAAUAUCCUUUGUCACUUUAUUAGAAUUUUUGUUUGUGCCAAGGGAAUUCAACACUUUAUAAUACACGGCAAUAACGGUAUUUGUGAAAAAGCCACUUUUUUGAAUUGUCAAGAUGCUGAAAGAAUUUAUUGAAGUACAUUUUCUUCCUUCACAGGCUGCUUGAAGCAAAGUAAAAAGAUCGAGCUUUUCCUCAAAAUGACAGAAGAAAAAGAAACCAUAAAAGGAUGCAUGGUCAUUGAACUCUAAAGGAAGCUUCCCUUACACGCUACAAUUGACAAUUAAAGUAAAGUCUGAUAAUGUCACGCGUAGUUGAAGUUCGGAACUAAAAUUUGAUUCUUUUAGAUUCAAAUACAAAAUAAAUAGAAAAAAAAAUGAAGUGACAAAAUUAUGUCACACUUCCUUUUUAUACGGUUACCCCGAAAGAUAAACGUAUAAGGGAAUUUUUUUAACUUAAGUGACAUUAUUCGAAAUGAGAUUAUUUAUUUAUUUAGAAUCGCCACUUGGGAUAAGCUUGGCUUUGGUGUCCCAAGUUACCGGUUUGUUUUGAAUCCCAAAUCGAGGAAAUUUUUAACUUCCCAAAUGGAGUCUGCGAACUAGAAAUUCUAAGUAAGGAAUUCUAUUGAUCCAAGGGAAGGUAUUAGGCACCCUCGGAUCUCGUGGUUCUAGCACAGUCGCUUAAACUAUUAUAAUCGGCUAAAAAUCUGAUUUUAAUACAUGUUCAUCCUAUAGUGCAAUUUUAAAUUGUUUAACGCUUUUAAUUGAAUUUUUAGGAAUGUGAAUGUCAUUUAAAACAUGUCUUUGGAUCGCGUAACAUGAAAUGCACCCGGAUCUGAAACACAUUUUAUCUGACGUUUUAGGAUUUGGAUUUGGGUCACAUGAAAUGCACAACUGUAUUUAGGAAGGUAAAAUUAUUAAAAGACGUGCCUAAAACGACUAACGUAUUAUUAUCUUUGCGAGAAAUCGAAAAGUUCGCUAAACGACAUGUCCCGAAUUUCUAAGUAUUUUAAUAUAAGCAUUUAAAGAGGGCCACACAAUUUAUGGGUUUUAUUUGACGCGGCGCACCUCUUUUUUUUUUAAAAGUCAACCUAGGGCAAACUAUUGUUUUCUAUUUGAUUUGUCUCUAAUAGCCUACUUAAUUAAUAUUGUAAAAUUCCGGCAUCAAGGUCAAGUCCAUGUUAAAACAAAAGGGAAAAACCUCUUAAUUUGAGCCCGCUACCUAACUCGAAAGCCCAAACUUAUGCUCUAAAUUUAUUUAUAACCAACAUUUCCAAAACUCUAACGAGUAGAUUAAACCUUCAGCAAACUCAAUACGAAAUACAUCAAUUACUCUAGGCUUUAAGCCCAUCUAUGGGCCAGCCUCCACCCUAAGGGAAUUAAACAAUCUGAAGUGGGAUAUGGGACAUUCUGGGCAGUACGUGCGUGGGCCAAAUUAGGCCCAAAUUAUGGCCUGGACAGUCCAUAUAUUUUUUUGAAUCUAAGUUGAAUUUUAUAUUGAUGUGCUAGCUGGUUGUAGAACGCGUAAUGCUGCAAUUCAUGAACUCAAACUCUAAUUUACACAGUACACAAAUUGAAAUUGAAGAUUAUUGAGAUAAUUUCACUUGCUGACAACUACUCAACCUAAAAUACACUACUAAAACAACAAAUAAAGUGGACUAGAAAUACACAGCUAAUCACUCGAUCAAAGAAAUCAUGAGGCUACAUAUGUACUACACUGUAAUUCAGCUCGAUGUUCCUUUAAGUUCCAACUAGUCAAAAAUACUUAUAACUGAAAAUAAACUAUUACAUUAAGGAAAAACAAUCCAGUUAUACAAAUUGUUAGAAUUCCUAAUCCCCCACAUUUCAAAUGCUACUACUACUACAUAAUCUAACAUGAAAUUCAUGUGUACAUAAUCAGGCUAAGCAUGAAAUUGACGUGAUCAAUUUUUCACAUGAACAAUAUAUAUAGAUACACAGGAGUUUAAACAAUUUGAACACUCAUGUCAAUAUUUCAUUUCAAAUCAAAGCUUCCACUACAAAUUUCCUUAGCCUUGGGCCAAUGGGGAUUUGGUAAGUACCUGGAAACGAAGCAAAGUAUAAGGAAACAUGAGUCAGUAGUGAGAAAUAGUAAUUAGCAGUUAAAAUCCAGUAGUAACACCACAAUCAGAUCAAUUAGAAGCCAAAAUGUGUAUCAUUGCAACCCAGGAGUGAAUAGCAACCAAUGAAAUAACCCAAAAUGGCCUCGAUUGAACUCAAACACACUAGAAAUUAACCCAGGAAACUCCAGAAACUUCAGCAAUCAGACCUUAGGCUAAAUGAUGCAAAUCAAACACUAUAAUUUGAAAUUGACUUGAGCUUCAAUAGAACAAUGAUUUUUUAUAGCUUUCUGUUUGUUUUUGAGGAUCUAAAUGAUCUAAUUUUAAGGGAAAACUUUCAUAUGUUCGUACUAACAAUAUUUUUUCUUUUGGUUUGAAUUUUUGAAUUGCAUAGAUAUGAAUUAGGAGUGUUUUUUGAGAAAAUUUUCUGAGCUGGAAUUUUGGGAAUUUCUUCAAGGUUUAAAUUUUUUUUCAAUAAGGCAAUGGUAUGCCUUUUUAUAGGCAAGGCUUAGGGUAGCCUUCCUAUUUUUGUUUUACCUAUUAUUUCCUCAUUUAUUUUUCACUUUUUCUCAAUUAGUCCUUUUAUUUAUGCCUUGUUGCUAAAGUUACUGCACUAGGUUUCAGAAUUAUAACUUCAAACCUCUUCUAGAAGAGUCUAGGGUGUUCUAGCUUCAAUCACCAAUAGGUUUCUUGAGUAAGAUACCUAUAUUAACCAUAUAUGCAAACUAAAUUUACUAUUUUAUACUAACUAAACCAAAUCCUCUUAAACUUGAUCAAAAGACCGUCAAUUAACCACCAAUACUAGAAAUUUCAGCUAUAUCCAAACAAGCUAAUAGAGAUCCUAAAAAUUAAGCUAAUCAACCUAAAUAAUCCAAGCUAGACCUUAAUCUCAAUGACACACUAAUAUCCUAAAAAUAGUGGGAUGAUAAACAAAAUGUCAAACCAAAAUUAACUAAACUACUGAACUAAUAAGAACUCAAUAGAAAUUAAAACAGAACAAGCAAUUUCUAAGGGACUGGGGAACAUAAAAAACAAACCAAAUUCGAAAAAUAAUACAAAACAAAAGCGAUUCAAUUCAAUUAACAAAGCUAAACACUAAACGGCUAACAAACUAUAGGUGAUAUCUAAUUAUCCUAAGAUCUCUUUAAAACUAACCAUAAGAGAACUAAGAAUUUAUGAACACUGUAAAAAUAGAAGUCUAGAAAAAGAAGAAAAAUCAUAUGGAAACAAAGAAUAACAAGGGAAGUGAAGAAAACUAGCAAAAGAAAAAUGAAGAGAUACCUGAACCUGUGCGGACAACUCGAAGUGAAAAAAACUUUUGACUCUUGACCGAAUUAGGCUUCAAUCUUGGGAAAACAACUGAGUAGGGUUCAAGACCGUCCAAAAACCUCCCUGACCUAUUGGAUUAUGCAUUUUGAAUCAAGGCUCAGUUCUUUGAUUUGAUUUUCGAGAAGCUCCAAAAAUGUUUGAAAGAAAUGGGAUGGAGAUUCGGGGUUGAGGAGGGUCUAUGGUGUGACUAUGGUUGAAAUAGGAUGAACUCCAUACACGCGGACACAAAAGAUAUAUUUUUGCAUAUUCGACAGUUUUAAGGGAGAUUUGAGGGAAGUGGGGCUCAGAUUUGGGUAGAGGAGGCCAAUGGGAGUCCGGGGUGUUAAUUUGGGAGCUUUUUGGGUGAUCGCCGCCGGACGCGGCGGAGACGGUGAAAAUGACUUUGAACAUUCGAGGAGUUUGAAACGGAGUUGAGGGAAAAUAAGGCGGGGUUCGAUAUGAGGGAGAAGAGGUAGUUUGUGGAUAUAUUUUUGGGCGAGUUUGGAUACCGGCCACGGGCGGACGGCCGGGAACAAUGGCAUUAGGGUUUCAACGUUUGGACAAGGUAUGAGGUUGGAUUUUGGGGUGGGGGUGGGGGGUGGAACAUUUAUAUAUGCGUUACAUCCUGG